Molecule: long non-coding RNA, 49458 nt
Filed under: Triticum aestivum (bread wheat)
Lineage: Eukaryota; Viridiplantae; Streptophyta; Magnoliopsida; Poales; Poaceae
Description: long non-coding RNA (TAES_LNC024975)
Source: RNAcentral
UUUUUUUUUUUUGCUCAUCAGCUGAUUGUUCAUGCAUGUUAGCUUGUCACUGGCUCAGUGCGGAGAGCGCCUGAUCCUUUUAGUGAGAAGAAAAGGAUAUGACUUUUACAUGUGAUUUUACCGAACUUUCUAGAAGGACAAGCUAUUACCUUGAGCUGGAACUAGCAUUUAAUAUUUGCAGCAGCAGAUGCAUGUGCAUAUACAACACAUCUAUUAUUCUCAAGGAACAUCACAUUACUCUCCUGGCCUCUACAUGAGCUCCUCAGACCAUGCUCGCCCGCCAAGAUAUGUAGUGUGUCUAUAAAUAAUACAACCGUGUACAUUUUGUGGAACCGAACUCAGCAAUGGUAGAAGCUGGAUAUCAUGUGUGCGUCGUGCGUGUGAAGCCAUCGAGUGGUAUAGACUAUUACACAGUGAGAACUCUUGAGGCGAUGAGAGUGAGAGGCACUGGGAAUUUUAGCUGAAGCCGAUGAGAAGCAUGUGGCCACAUGCCUGACUUGUUCGUCGGACGUCGCUGGCGGCGAGUGCUUUCCGCUGGAAACAUUCAGUUAGUUCAGUGUCACUGAAUAAAAUUCAGUCCGUCAGCGUGUGCUUGUGCACAUACAGACACAAUAGUUUUCAGUGAGGAAGUUAGCAGCAUUUUCACCCGUCCGAAGAAGCGCCAUGGGAUGGCAUGGAUCACGCGUCUCAUGGCGGGUAUGUAGGGUUCAAUCGUGGCGAGCAUUAUAGGAUGGCACGAUCAGUAAGCUCAUCAUGAGCAACCAUUUCCUUCUUGUUUUCAAUAGCUUCUUUUGGGGCUUGCUGAAUAACAGAAAAGGUGCAGUGGCAGUUUGCAAGGCAAACCUACUGUCUUCCACCUCUGGCACUCUCUCUUUCUCUCACAAAUCUCUAUCGUCGAGGUUGCCAGCUUCAGCAACAACAAGUGGCAUCAGAGCCUUGUUGGUGUUCGAUCCAUACUAGGCACCAGCGGUGUUUGAUCCGAGAUGACUGGCAGCGAUGACGAGACGACAAAGAAAGUUGGGGGAGAAGAAGGCGGCAGCGGAAAUGGCAGCGCUGCAGAAAACCCUAGCACGGCUCUCCACAGAAGGAGGGUUAGGGGUGCGCGUCGUGCAUGCCUGUGGCGGUGGCAUGCCGCUCAUGAUGCUAACGCGAACGAACUACACCUAUUGGGCCCUCAUGACUAAAUUGCAGUCGAAUGCUGAUGAGCUGUGGCUUGUAGUUGAGACCGGUGUAGGUAGGGACUGCGAAGACCGGCGCGCCAUGGUUGCCCUGAUAAGGGGUGUCCCGCCAUAGUUGACGCGGACGCUGGGCACUAAGUCCAUGGCAAAGGAAGCACGUGACACCCUCAAGACUAUGCGUUGACGCGGAUGCUGGGCACGAAUGCGCCGCUCUGAGUACGAGGGACUCCGGCACAAGGACGACGAAGCGAUUGAGUAGUAAAUUAUGCGGCUUUGGGCCAUCAUCGACAAGCUCGAGGUCCUCAGUGCUCCGGUGGGUGAGCACAAAGCUGUCCUCAAGGUACUACGGAUGGUGCCCCGGGCUUACCUUGACGUGGCAGUGGCGAUCGAGUCACGUGUCGACAAUAAACAACUCUCCUUGGAAGAGCUCUGCGGGCACCUUGUUGUCGUCGAAGAAUGCGAGCGUGAGGAGGUACUUGCAUCUGGGGCCACCUGCUCCUUACUGAAGAGGAGUGAUUUGCGCGCCACAGGCAGCCUGACCAAGGCGGCAACUCGUCUGGAAGAGGGCGGCAUUGGGCGUGGUAACUGAAAGCCAAAGGGCUUCCUAGGCAGCGAAGGUCACGACCAAGGCGAUGGUCGCAACAACGGAGGUGCAGCGACGUCCAAGGGCAAGGGCGAUUGCAGCUACUAGGGAUCCCAACACUACUAGGGAAAACCCUAGAAGUAGUGCGGGUAAUUGCCUAGCAGUAGCGCGGGGGCAUGCGCUACUGAUAGGGCGCUACAACUAACUUUUAGCAGUAGCGCGGGUGGUACCCGCGCUACUGCUACUUCUAGUAGUAGUAGCGCGGUUGCCGCCCACGCUACUACUAAUUAGUUGUAGCGCGGGUUAGGGCCCCGCGCUACUACUAACUAAUUGAGAAUUAAAAAAAAUUAUAUCCAUGGCAGCUGCUUAUGCUAGGCGUCAUGGUCCUCUCCAUUCAUGGCUGCUACUGGUCCUGGAAGGGAUGAAGCUGUCCAUGGUGAUGGUGCUUCCGCACCCAACUUGUGCCCGCACCUCUCUUCUACUGCUGCUACAAAAGAAGAGAAAAUUAUUAGAAAGAGGAAGAGAGAUAGAGAGCAGUAGGAGGAGGAACUCACCGGUGGCCGCCGGAGUAGGAGCUGACGCCCGAAACCCUACAUGAAGCCCGAUGACCUGCUGCUUCUUGUCGUGGGAUCCUUGACCCGACGAGGAGGUGCAAGUGGUUGCGUCCAUGGCGGAUCUGGCCUCCGCCAUGGACAACCGUCGGCUGGUUUCCCUCUCCUUCCAACAGCGGAGAAGAAGGAGGAUGGAGGGGAAGGAGAGGGGUCUGCAGUGCGCGAGGAGGUCGCCGGAUUUGUGAGUGGCGCGAGGUGCGAGGCCGGCAGUGGCGGUGGGUGAGGAAGGGAAACAUGGGUGGGACGAGAAGGGGAAUCAGAAGAGUGUGGUUUGGAUUUGUUCCUCCGCACGCUAUGUGUACACAUGUCUUGGUGGGUCGAUAGUAGUAGCGCGGGUUUAUACCCUUCGCUACUACUAUGACAUGUCCCGGAUGACGCACGGUAGAGACCACUUAGUAGUAGCGAGGGUUAAAAACCCGCGCUACUACUAUCAACUUAGUAGUAGCGAGGGUUUAUACCCCUCGCUAUUACUAUGGCAUGUCCCCGGGGGGCACGGUAGAUACCACUUACUAGUAGCGAGGGUUAAAAACCCGCGCUACUACUAUCAACUUAGUAGUAGCGAGGGUUAAAAACCCACGCUACUACUAAGUAGCAGUAGCGAGGGUUAUAAACCCACGCUACUAGUAAGCGUCUGCCUAUAAGCUUUUCCCUAGUAGUGCAAGGCGCUGGGCGAGAGAGUGCCACAACAAGGCCAAGGACUGUGAGCAGUAGGAACAUCAGGCUCACAUGGUGUAGUCGACGUCGAACAGCCUAGGUUUCUGCUCACUGCCUGCGAGGUGGUAGACGUCACGAACGUAGUCACCCCUGCAGUGAUGCAGCCGGUACCACAGGAGAUCUUCAUCAAGAAGGGGCGCGACAUGCCAAUGGCCACGAACGACGACCAUUGGUAUCUAGACACCGGCGCCAGCAACCAUAUGAUGGGCCACCGCGACAUGCUCACGUAGGUGGACGAAUCCAUGCGUGACGAAUGAGACCAGUUGUGCUUUGGUGAUGGCUCCGUGGUGCGGAUCUUCGGGGUUGGGGUGAUGAUGAUUUCGUGCAAGACCGGCGAGCACCGUACGCUCUCGGUUGUCUACUAUAUCCCGCAACUCCGAAUGAACAUUGUAAGUCUCAGUCGAUGAGCACGGUUGCAAAUCCAUGAUCAGGGGUGGUGAGCUCUGCCUCUAUGACAAACAGCUCGUAUUUCUGGUGCGGGUGCGAUGGAUGAGACCAGUUGUAUGCCGUGGCUCUGAACUUGGCCGCGCCCGUGUGUCUCCUGGCGGGCUGCAUCGACGAGGCCUGGCACUGGCACACGCGCUCCGGCCACCUCCAAUUCCAAUCCCUUCACGAUCUUGGCGCAAAAGGGGUGGUGUGUGGCAUGUCAGCAAUCCAACACAUUGACCAGUUCUUCGAAGGCUGCCCGAUCGGUAACAUGCACUGCAUGCCAUUCCUCCAGCGAUUCAGAGCACGUGCUAGAUCUCGUCCACGGUGACCACUUCGGCCCCAUCUCUCUGGCGACAAUGAGAGGUAACAACUAUUUUCUUCUAAUUUGGAUGAACACGGUAGAUAUAUUGUGGCUGGAGGUUCUUAGGAGCAAGGACGAGGUGUUCCGUUUCUUCAGGAAGAUCAAGGCCAUCGUUGAUACACAGAGCGACGCCAAAGUCAAAGCAUUACGCAUGGAUCAUGCCUGUGAAUUUAAUUCUAAUGAGUUCACCGCAUACUGUGAGGAGCUGGGCCUCCAAAGGAACACGACUAACACCAUACUCUCCAUAGCAAAAUCGUGUUGUCGAACGACGAAACCAGUCAGUGGUGGAGAUGGCCCACAGUCUGAUGAAGAGCAUGGGCAUGACAAGCGCCUUCUGAGGUGAGGCGUUGUGCACAACGUUUCAUUAAACAUUGGCCUACGAGAAGUUUGCAUGGCAUCACACCUACGAGGCUUGGCAGAGGCGUAAUGUAAGAGGAAGUCGGCGGUCGACUACUUCCAUACUUUCGGCUGCGUAGCACACGUGAAACUCGUUGGCCCCGAAGUCAGCAAGCUCUUAGAUCGCUCUGUCGCCAGUGUGUUUGUGGCCUAUGAUCCUGGCACGAAGGAGUACAGGGUCUACAACCCGGCUGGCAAACGGAUCUAUGGCACAUGCGAUGUAUGAUUUGAAGAAGACCCCUGCCAGGACUGGAGCAGCGCACACGUCGACGUGCCUGCUUGGACGGCCUUGUUAUUUUUUCACGGAGUCAGCCGUACAAAGAACUAUGGCGCCAUCUGGUACCAGGUUUAAGGUGAAGAAGUUCAACGGAACUGAAAGCUUUGGGUUAUGGCAGACAAGGGUUAAAGAUUUGUUGGCACAACAGGGAUGCUUGAAGGCAUUGUUGCAGGAAGCCAAGCCAGCUAAGAUGGAGGUGGAUGACUGGGAGGAGUUACAGUUGAAAGCAGACGGGACUAUACGGUUGUGUCUGUCUGACCAGAUUAUUUAUCAUGAUGGAUGAGAAUUCGCCGAAGAAGAUCUGGAAGAAGCUGCAAAGUUAGUUUAUAUCCAAGACUGCGACGACCAAGGUGUAUCUGAAGCAAAAGUUGUAUGGGAUGAGGAUGUAGGAGGGAUCAGAUCUUGUGGAGUAUAUGAACACCUUUAAUCAAGUCGUAACGGAUCUAGCACGCUUGGGUGCGCCGGUUGACGACGAGGAUAGGACAAUUUUGCUUCCGUGUUCAUUGCCAUCAUCCUAUGACCAUUUGAUCACUACUUUGACGCAUGGCAAGGAGACCGUUAAGAAUGGGGAUAUUACUGCGGCAUUGCUAUCUUAUGAUAUGAGAAAGAAGAACGCGGUGGAAGUCUCUCAUGGUGAAGGUUUGCUAGUCAAGGGAGAGGAGUGGCGGAAGGGAUAUGAGGCUGGGAAGAACAUGAAAAAGAAAAAGAAUAUACAGUGUCACAAGUGUAAGCAGUGGGGACAUGUAAGAAAGGACUGUCCAGAACUCAAUGGUGGGGCAAGUGCUAAUAAGGCAACUCAUGGGGAUGACUCAGACAGCGGUAGUGAUGUCUGAGGGAGUCCUGGAUUAGGGGGUCUCCGGACAGCCGGACUAUAUCCUUUGGCCGGACUGUUGGACUAUGAAGAUACAAGAUUGAAGACUCCAUCCCGUGUUCGGAUGGGACUCUCCUUCGCGUGGAAGGCAAGCUUGGCAAUACAGAUAUGUAGAUCUCCGUCCUUGUAACCGACUCUGUGUAACCCUAGCCCCCUCCGGUGUCUAUAUAAACCGGAGGGUUUAGCCCGUAGGACAACAACAAUCAUACCAUAGGUUAGCUUCUAGGGUUUAGCCUCUACAAUCUCGUGGUAGAUCAACUCUUGUAAUACUUAUAUCAUCAAGAUCAAUCAAGCAGGAAGUAGGGUAUUACCUCCAUCGAGAGGGCCCGAACGUGGGUAAACAUCGUGUCCCCCGCCUCCUGUUACCAUCCGCCUUAGACGCACAGUUCGGGACCCCCUACCCGAGAUCCGCCGGGUUUGACACCGACAUUGGUGCUUUCAUUGAGAGUUCCACUAUGCCGUCACCAUAAGGCUUGAUGGCUCCCUCGAUCAUCGGUAACAAUGCGGUCCAGGGUGAGGCUUUCCUCCCCGGACAGAUCUUCGUAUUCGGCGGCUUCGCACUACAGGCCAACUCGCUUGGGCAUCUGGAGCAGAUCGAGAGUUACACCCCUGGCCACCAGGACAGGUUCGGAAACUUGAACUACACUGCUGACAUCUGCGGAGACUUGAUCUUCGAUGGAUUCGAGCCCAUGCCAGGUGCGCCGCAUGAUCACGAUGAGCAUGAUUUAGCUCUGCCGUCGGAUAGUGUUCGGGAGAUCACACCUGCAACUACUCCGACCCUCAAUCCGGAGCAAAUUGCUCCAUCCGAGGAUGGGGGGAUAGACCCCGCCAUGGAGGCCGCACUCUCAGUGCCGAUGGAGCUAGAUACUGACUUCACCCUUUACGAGAGCCGUGUUGCCGAACCACUGGAUUCGUCUCCGGCCACGGACUCCGAGCUGCCUGCGUCCGUGCCUAUCGAAUCCGAUUGGGCGCCGAUCAUGGAGUUCACUUCCGCGGAUAUCUUUCUGCACUCACCUUUCGGCGACGUGCUAAAUUCAUUAAGGUCUCUCUCCUUGUCAGGAGAUCCUUGGCCGAACUAUGUCCGGCUAGAAUGGGAUGCGAACGACGAAGAAAUUCGCUGCCCACCCACCACCCACUUAGUAGCCUAUGUCGACAAUUUAACCGACAUGCUCGAUUUCGACUCCGAAGACAUCGACGGCAUGGACGACGAUGCAGGAGAGGAACAGGAACCAGUGCCCAGAGGGCGCUGGACAGCCACUUCACCACAUGACAUAUACAUGGUGGAUACACCCAAAGAAAACAAUGACGAAGAACGACAUGAUGCAGCGAAGAAUAGCUCCCUCGAGAAGCAAGCAAAGCGUCGGCAUAGGCGCCGCUCAAAAUCCCGCCUCGACAAAAACAGCGAUAGCAGUGCAAGAGAAAAUAACACUCUAGUCGACUCCAGAGGAAACGACGACCACAUUGACCCAGCGGCAGAGCAUGAUGAAAUUGCAAACGGCGAACAUAGUACGGAUCCGAUGUCCGAACACAGCAACACCGAGGAUAAACCUCAUCAACCCCCCUCUGGGGAGGAAAACAGUCCGGAUGAAGAUGCACACAUCAUCCCGAAAAGGCAUUUGGAAUAAGAGAACCUCCGCAGAAGGCUUAUUGCCACAGCUAGGAGUCUGAAGAAGCAGAAGCAAAGGCUUAAGGCCACACAAAAUACGCUCAACAGCAGGUGGAACAAAGUGCUCGACAACGAAGAAAAGUAUGGUGGAAGUUACCACACAAAGAGCUAUCCCAAGCGCAAGCUAUUACCUGCAUUUGACGAUGAGGCCAUAGAGCCCACACAGCCGAAUAAUAAAACGCCCAACCGGCUGGAUCAACCACCUUGUGGCCGCGAUAGAGCGGCUAACAAGGCCGCACAUAAGUCAACACACGAUCUACGUGAGGACUUGCGCCAAAAAAUCCAGUAUGACCAGAUCCAUCUAUGGAUCUAGGAAGCGCGCUCCGGCACAAAAUCAAAACCGAAUACUACAACCGUCCGAAUGCCAUGAUACAUCCAAAUACAGGGGUGACACACACCCCCUAUGUUUCACCGAUGAGGUGCUGGACCACGAAUUUCCAGAAGGAUUCAAAACAGUGAACAUAGAGGCAUACGACGGGACCACAGACCCUGGGGUCUGGAUUGAGGACUUUAUCCUCCAUAUUCAUAUGGCUCGCGGAGACGAUCUCCAUGCCAUCAAGUACUUGUCCCUCAAGCUUAAAGGACCAGCUCGGCACUGGCUGAAAAGCCUCCCCGAAAACUCAAUUGGAAGUUGAGAGGAGCUCGAGGAUGCUUUUCGGGCUAAUUUUCAAGGGACCUAUGUCCGACCUCCGGAUGCAGACGAUUUAAGUCAUAUAAUUCAACAGCCCGGAGAGUCAGCCCGAAAUCUUUGAAACAGGUUUCUCACUAAGAAGAACCAAAUCGUCGACUGCCCGGACGCCGAAGCCUUAGCAGCUUUCAAGCACAGCGUCCGACACGAAUGGCUCGCCAGACACCUCGGCCAAGAAAAACCGAGAACAAUGGCAGCCCUGGCAAGCAUCAUGACCCGCUUUUGCGCGGGCGAAGAUAGCUGGUUAGCCCGCAGUAGCACCAGUGACCCAAGCACAUCCGAAGUCAGGGAUGGCAAUGGAAAACCACAACGCAGUAAAAGCAAGCGUCGAAAUAAAGAAGACAGCCCAGAUAAUACGGCGGUAAAUGCCGGAUUCAGGGGCUCUCGACCAGGUCAGUGGAAAAAGCCUUUCAAAGGCAGCAGAGAUGGACCAUCCAGCCUAAACAAGAUUCUAGACAAACUAUGUCAGAUUCAUGGCACCCCCGAUAAACCUGCAAAUCACACCACAGAGAAUGCUAGGUCUUCAAGCAGGCCGGUAAGCUAAACGUCGAACACAAGGGGAGGGAGACACCAAGAGAAGACGAGGAGGAACCUCGCCAGCAAAGCACUGGAGGACAGAAAAAAAUUCCCACCAGAGGUUAAAAUAGUAAACAUGAUCCACGUGACGAAGAGGAGAAGCAAACAUGCACUCCGAGACAUACACGCCGUAGAGCCCGUCACCCCUAAGUUCAGCCCCUGGUUGGCCUACCCGAUCACUUUUGAUCGCAGGGAUCACCUGACAAGCAUCCGGCAUGAAGGAUUGGCUGCCUUGGUGUUAGACCCAAUAAUAAACGGAUACCAUCUCACACGAGUCCUUAUGGACGGCGGCAGUGGUUUAAAUCUGAUAUAUCAGGACACGGUCCGCAAAAUGGGGGUUGACCCGACAAAAAUCAGCCACAUUAAUACUACCUUCAAGGGAGUAAUACGAGGCCCAGAGGCCUGCUCCACGGGCUCUCUAAUACUAGAGGUUGUAUUCGGUUCACCCGUCAACUAACAAAGUGAGAAGUUAGACUUCGACAUUGCUCCAUUCCGAAGCGGCUAUCAAGCACUACUCAGAAGAACAACUUUCGCUCGUUUUAAUGCAGUACACAUUACACUUCUCUUAAGCUUACGAUGCAUGGUCCACGUGGCACCAUCAUAGUUAGUGGAAAUAUUGAGCGUUCUCUACGCGCGGAAGAACGUGCGGCGGCUUUAACAGCCGAGCACUAGACGGCCUCACCAACCAGAAUAAAUGACAGGUCAUCAAGACCGCGGACACGGUUAGACGAGUCUGGCGCAUCACUAGAUAUACCUGAGAUUGGUUUGAUGGUUAAACCCUCAUAGACGGUACCAGGGGCUUCCCACGUGUAAUCAGGGCUAGUUCAGCUUAACUUGACUUAUCUUGGAUUUUAAUGGUUUAUCGAGAAUAACCAAUUUUUUGGCACGACGACUUUUACCUAAGUUCUUCUCUUUUACAGAUGACAAUCGUGCUACACCCGUCCAGGACACGGCACAACGGAGACACAGGCGCAGACGUGCAGCAGGGACCCGCUCAAAGGUUUCUUUUCAGAUUAAGACCUUGUGUAAACCUUUUUUCUUGUUGUUCACAUCCUUCGGAUACUCAAUACAACCGAGAAGGAUGCUGACGUUAUUGGCAUUUCACCAUGUCAGAAUAUUGCACGUACCUGGACACUCGGGGUUCCUUAUUAAGGGCAUUGUUCAGCCCGAUAUAUGUCAUAAAGACCGAAUACCUUAGGGAGUGUUCGGCGUCGCGAGUUUGGCCUUAUAUGCAUCAGCUCCGAAUCAUGUCUUUGGUCAAAUGUUGGGUUUGCCCGGCUCACGUGUUUUGUUACCUUACGUUCCGCUCUAUCGGCUAAGGCAGCACCGGGAGAACUACUGCGAUUGUGCCCUGGUUCAUCCGGAGGAGCACCUCAGUAGAGAAAGCCAAAAACUGACUGUCAUGAUAAAGCGCGAGACUGGUCAACCACUCGAUGACUUAGGAGAAUCUUCAGGAUUCCUCUGCAUUAACGAAGGGCCGUUUCCAGGUCAUGUACGUACGCGCACCGUAUUCGGACGAGCGCGGAGGUACCAGGGGCUAUAUAGUAGUCCCACCGUCAAACUCCUAUGGCUAAGUGGAAGUGUUAAAGCAAUAUAGUCUGAUUGCCUCGUUUGCUGUGCUACCACCUCCUUAAUGGACCAAGACAUUGGAUCAAGCGUGAAUACGCGUUUUUGCGAACACCCCCGCAUUAUAUGAGUGGGGGCUGAAGCCGACAACUGCAAACUUUCAGGUUAUAUACAUAUAUACAUAAACGGCCGCACAGGAGGCAUCAUAAUACUUUCAGGCAAAAGUAUAAACACAACCUUUAUAAUUCAAUAAAACAUUGUUUUUACAAUGGGAAUACAUGUCACUAGAACAUAAUAUUCUUUGAGCACUGAGCCUCUAUUGAACGAGCACCUUCAAGGACUUCUUCAAAGUAGUGCUCGGCAGAUACUCGGCCUAUGGCCGAACUCUGGGUUGUAGUAGCGGUGGCCUCCAUCUCUAUCCAGUAUGUCUUGACACGGGCAAGUGCCAUACGCGCACCCUCUAUGCACGCCGACCUCUUCUUAGUGUCGAUGUGCGGCACAACACCAAGGAACUAUUGCACUAAACUAAAAUAACUAUUCGACCUUGGCCCUUCCGGCCACAGAUGAUCCACAACAGACCUCAUGGCAAGCCCGGACAACCUAUGGAGCUCGGCCCACUCGUCCAUUCGCUCAUUCAACAACAGCGGACACACUAGAACAUGGAACUGUGACCAGAAUAGCCUUUCCGCUUCACGAUCUUUUUGAUCCUUGAAGUACUCGGCCGCAUCAACAGCACUAGCUGCCAAAUCCACGUAUGCAUCUGCAGAACUCCAUAGUUCAUCAAGAGGGGCAUACUUCGGAUCUCCAAACUUUAUCCGCAACAAAAAGGGCUUCCCAGCCGUGAUAUCUCCAGCUUGACGCAGCUCCUCCUUCGCCACUCUGAUUUUAGAGUGGGCUUCCUUGGCUGCUACCAUGGCCUUCUCCAGGUCCGCCGCCUUCGCUCGGCUUUCUUUUUUAAGAAGCUGGUAAUGGUCGGCGACAUCUUUCAACUCAACGGCCAUCUUGGCUAAUUUUUCCUUGCUUUGGCAAUGCGCAGCCUGUUCGGCCCUCAGCUCUUCGACUGCCUUUAGAGCGGCCACAUCACUAUUCCUGGCUUGUUCCUUGGCUCCGGCAAGUUUCGCCCGAAGGGUCUCCACGGCGACAGCUCCAUCUGCAGUCACAACAUAUUAAAGAUACUACCAUCAUGCUCCUCUUACUAAGUGUUGAUCACCGGAGAAAUCACAUACCAUGUGCCUUGUCGAGCCGCUUGUUGACAAGCACGAUGUCGGCAUCUGCCGCAUCAAGUUACCGCUUCAGCUCGGCAAACUCACCAGUCCGGCUAGCCACCGGACCUUCAGCCACCUGCACAUGAAGGCGACCUGAUUAUUACCUGGGACUAUGAUCCUCUGUUUGCUGCCGUUCUCAACGGCAACCAGAGUCUCAGGGGCUACUACCUGCAUAGGGCGAACCUAACGUGUGCGGUACUGUCAAAAACAUACAUAUUUCACGUACCUCAAAGCCUUUCAGCAGACUCAUAAAAGCUUCAUGCAACCCGCUUUCGGCGGAUGAAAUCCUCUGAACCACCGUACCCAUUAGCGUACGAUGCGCUUCUGAGAUAGCCGCUUGCUCCAGAAGAUCCUUCAGUGCGUCCGAUCACACACCGGACGGUUCCGGAUUCUUUUUGUUGCUCUCUUUAGGAGACGAAUACUGAGGACUUCGGGUGGCCGAAGAAUUACCCUUUGGCCUCGGUGGAUCAGGAGAAAUCCUCCGUGACAACACCUCAGAGUCACCCGCCUCAUGAGGCGGGGAGGCAUGGGGAGGUGUUUCGCUCUCCAUCAUCUCCGGAAGAAGAUCCCCCGAAGACGAACGCUGUUGAGAAGGGCUACGAUCCGAACUACAAGAUAUAUGCUUCGGUUAUUGUCCUCAGAAGUAAAGCAGGACAUUUUUAUUAUUUAGUGCUUUUUGUUUACUUACAGCUCGGUGGAGGGCUGACCCCCUUUCGGGCACUGUGCGGCAAGGGUACCUUCCGAGGCAGGACCCUCUGGCGAAGAUUUCUUCCCCCGUUUGGAAACCUUUGUUUCCGGGUCUUCAGAGGUGGUCCUCUUCCUUCCUUGGGGAUGUUGGGGAACGUAGCAAUAAUUCAAAAUUUUCCUACGUGUCACCAAGAUCAAUCUAGGAGAUACUAGCAACGAGAGAAAGGGAGUGCAUCUUCAUACCCUUGAAGAUCGCUAAGCGGAAGCGUUACAAGAACGCGGUUGGUGGAGUCGUACACGCAGCGAUUCAAAUUCCGGUCUAUUCCGAUCUAAGCAUCGAACAACGGCACCUCCGCGUUCAACACACGUACAGCCCGGGGACGUCUCUGCUACCUCUUGAGCACUGCGUUGGUUUUCCCCGAAGAGGAAGGGAUGAUGCAGCAAAGUAGCGUAAGUAUUUCCCUCAGUUUUUGAGAACCAAGGUAUCAAUCCAGUAGGAGGCUACGCGCGAGUCCCUCGCACCUGCACAAAACAAAUAAAUCCUCGCAACCAACGCAAAUAGGGGUUGUCAAUCCCUAUAAGGCCACUUACGAGAGUGAGAUCUGAUAGAUAUGAUAAUAUAAUAUUUUUGGUAUUUUUAUGAUAAAAGAUGCAACGUAAAAUAAAGGCAAAGUAAAUAGCAAAGGAAAUAACUAAGUAGUAGGAGAUCAAUAUGAUAAAGAUAGACCCGGGGCCAUAGGUUUCACUAGUGGCUUCUCUCGAGAGCAUACAUAUUCUACGGUGGGUGAACAAAUUACUGUUGAGCAAUUGACAAAAUUGAGCAUAAUUAUGAGAAUAUCUAGGUAUGAUCAUGUAUAUAGGCAUCAUGUCUGAGACAAGUAAACCGACUCCUGCCAGCAUCUACUACUAUUACUCCGCUCAUCGACCGCUAUCCAACAUGCAUCUAGAGUAUUAAGUUAAAAACAGAGUAAUGCCUUAAGCAAGAUGACAUGAUGUAGAGGGAUAGACUCAUGCAAUAUGAAGAAAACCCCAUCUUGUCAUCCUCGAUGGCAACAAUACAAUACGUGCCUUGCUGCCCCUACUGUCACUGGGAAAGGACACCGCAAGAUUGAACCCAAAGCUAAGCACUUCUCCCAUUGCAAGAAAGAUCAAUCUAGUAGGCCAAACCAAACUUGCAAAGAUAAACAAUCAUACAUAAAAGAAUUCAGAGAAGAUUCAAAUAUUAUUCAUAGAUAGACUUGAUCAUAAACCCACAAUUCAUCGGUCUCAACAAACACACCGCAAAAAGAAGAUUACAUUUAAUAGUUCUCCACAAGAGAGGGGGAUAACAUUGUAUUGAGAUCCAAAAAGAGAGAAGAAGCCAUCUAGCUACUAACUAUGGACCCGUAGGUCUGAGGUAAACUAAUCACACUUCAUCGGAAGGGCUAUGGUGUUGAUGUAGAAGCCCUCCGUGAUCGAUGCCCCCUCCGGCAGAGGUCCGGAACAGGCCCCAAGAUGGGAUCUCGUGGAUACAGAAAGUUACAGCGAUGGAGUUAGGGUUUUGACUUCGUAUCUGAUCGUUUGGGGGUACGUCGAUAUAUAUAGGAGGAAGGAGUAUGUCAGUGGAGCAACAGGGGGCCCACGAGGGUGGAGGGUGCGCCUGGUGGGGGUGGGCGCGCCCGCCUACCUAGUGGCCUCCUGUUUCCUUUCUUGAUGUAGGGUCCAAGUCUCCCGGGUCUUGUUCAGUGAGAAAAUCAAGUUCCCGAAGGUUUCAUUCCAUUUGGACUUCGUUUAAUAUUCCUUUUCUUCGAAACCCUAAAACAGCCAAAAAAAACAGCAAUUCUGGGCUGGGCCUCCGAUUAAUAGGUUAGUCCCAAAAAUAAUAUAGAAGUGGAUAAUAAAGCCCAAUAAUGUCCAAAGCAGUAGAUAAUAUAGCAUGGAGCAAUAAAAAAUUAUAGAUACAUUGGAGACGUAUCAAGCAUCCCCAAGCUUAAUUCCUUCUCGUUCUCGAGUAGGUAAAUGAUAAGAACAGAAUUUUUGAUGCGGAGUGCUACUUGGCAUAAUUUUAAUGUAAUUUUUCUUAAUUGUGGUAUGAAUAUUCAGAUCCGAAAGAUUCAAGACAAAAGUUUAAUAUUGACAUAAAAAUAAUAAUACUUCAGGCAUACUAACAAAGCAAUUAUGUCUUCUCAAAAUAACAUGGCUAAAGAAAGUUAUCCCUACAAAAUCAUAUAGUCUGGCUAUGCUCUAUCUUCACCACACAAAAUAUUUAAAUCAUGCACAACCUUGAUGACAAGCCAAGCAAUUGUUUCAUACUUUUGACAUUCUCAAAACAUUUUCAAUCUUCAUGCAAUACAUGAGCGUGAGCCAUGGAUAUAACACUAUAGGUGGAAUAGAGUGGUGGUUGUGGAGAAGACAAAAAAGGAGAAGAUAGUCUCACAUCAACUAGGCGUAUCAACGGGCUAUGGAGAUGCCCAUCAACAAAUAUCAAUGUGAGUGAGUAGGGAUUGCCAUGCAACAGAUGCACUAGAGCUAUAAGUAUAUGAAAGCUCAAAAAGAAACUAAGUGGGUGUGCAUCCAACUUGCUUGCUCAUGAAGACCUAGGGCAUUUUGAGGAAUCCCAUCAUUGGAAUAUACAAGCCAUGCUCUAUAAUGAAAGAUUCCCACUAGUAUAUGAAAGUGAUAACAUGAGAGACUCUCUACUAUGAAGAUCAUGAUGCUACUUUGAAGCACAAGUGUGGUAAAAAGAUAGUAACAUUGUCCCUUCUCUCUUUUUCUCUCAUUUUUUAUUUUUUUAUUUGGGCCUUUUCUCUCUUUUAUGGCCUCUUUUCUUUCAUUCUUUUAUUUUUUGUCCGGAGUCCCAUCCCGACUUGUGGGGGAAUCAUAGUCUCCAUCAUCCUUUCCUCACUGGGACAAUGCUCUAAUAAUGAUGAUCAUCACACUUUUAUUUUUCUUACAACUCAAGAUUACAACUCGAUACUUAGAACAAAAUAUGACUCUAUAUGAAUGUCUCUGUCGGUGUACUGGGAUAUGCAAUGAUUCAUGAGUGACAUGUAUGAAAGAAUUAUGAAUGGUGGCUUUUCCACAAAUACGAUGUCAACUACAUGAUCAUGCUAAGCAAUAUGACAAUGAUGGAGUGUGUCAUAAUGAACGGAACGGUGGAAAGUUGCAUGGCAAUAUAUCUCGGAAUGGCUAUGGAAAUGCCAUAAUAGGUAGGUAUGGUGGCUAUUUUGCGGAAGGUAUAUGGUGGGUGUAUGAUACCGGCGAAAGGUGAGCGGUAUUAGAGAGGCUAGCAAAGGUGGAAGGGUGAGAGUGCGUAUAAUCCAUGGAAUCAACAUUAGUCAUAAAGAACUCAUAUACUUAUUGCAAAAAUCUAAAAGUUAUCAAAACAAAGUAUUACGCGCAUGCUCCUAGGGGUAUAGAUUCGUAGGAAAAGACCAUCGCUCGUCCCCGACCGCCACUCAUAAGGAAGGCAAUCAAAAAAUAAAUCAUGCUCCGACUUCAUCACAUAACGGUUCACCAUAAGUACGUGCUACAGGAAUCACAAGCUUCAACACAAGCAUUUCUCAAAUUCACAACUACUCAACUAGCAUGACUUUAAUAUCACCAUCUUCAUGUCUCAAAACAUUUAUCAAGUAUCAAACUUAUCAUAGUGUUCAACACACUCAUAAGAGAAUUUUAUUAUUUAUCUUAUAUACCAAGCUUAUUAAGACUUUAAGAAAAUUACCAUGCUAUUUAAGACUCUCAAAAUAGAUCAAUAGUUUCUAUAAAAAAAUCCACCACCCUGCUCUAAAAGAUAUAAGUGAAGUACUAGAGCAAAAUUAUAUAACUCAAAGGAUAUAAGCGAAGCACAUAGAGUAUUCUAACAAAUUCUAAAUCAUGUAUGGCUCUCUCAAAAGGUGUGUACAGAAAGGAUGAUUGUGGUAAACUAACAAGCAAAGACUCAAAUAAUACAAGACGCUCCAAGCAAAACACAUAUCAUGUGGCAAAUAUAAAUAUAGCUCCAAGUAAAGUUACCGAUAGAAGUAGACGAAAGAGGGGAUGCCUUCCGGGGCAUCCCCAAGCUUUGGCUUUUAGGUGUCCUUAGAUUAUCUUGGGGGUGCCAUGGGCAUCCCCAAGCUUAGGCUCUUGCCACUCCUUGUUCCAUAAUCCAUCAAAUCUUUACCCAAAACUUGAAAACUUCACAACACAAAACUCAAAGUAGAAAAUCUCGUGAGCUCCGUUAGCAAAAGAAAAUAAAAGACCACUUCAAGGUACUGUAAUGAACUCAUUCUUUAUUUAUAUUGGUGUUAUACCUAAUGUAUUCCAACUUCUCUAUGGUUUAUAAACUAUUUUACUAGCCAUAGAUUCAUCAAAAUAAGCAAACAACACACGAAAAACAGAAUCUGUCAAAAACAGAACAGUCUGUAGUAAUCUGUAACUAGCGCAAGAUUUGCAACCCCAAAAAUUGUAAAAUAAACUUCUGGACGUGAGGAAUUUAUCUAUUAAUCAUCUGAAAAAAUAAUUAACUAAAUAGCACUUUCCAAAUAAAAAUGACAGCAGUUCUCGUGAGCGCUAAAGUUUCUGUUUUUUACAGCAAGUUCAACAAGACUUUCCCCAAGUCUUACCAACGGUUCUACUUGGCACAAAUACUGAUUAAACACAAAAACACAACCAAAACAGAGGCUAGAUAAAUUAUUUAUUACUAAACAGGAGCAAAAAGCAAGGAAUAAAAAUAAUAUUGGGUUGCCUCCCAACAAGCGCUAUCGUUUAACGCCCCUAGGUAGGCAUAACAAGCAAGAAUAGAUCUAGGUAUUGCCAUAAUAGUAAGAUAGAUCAUUAAAACUCAUCUCAUAUUCUCUACGUUCGGCGGCAAUUUUUCUUUGAGGCAAGCAAAAGUAAUCAAAAGGCUAAAUUUAAUGGGACAAAAGUCCCCAAGAUUAACCUUGGGAGGUAUAGGUUCCUCCUUUGGUCCUUCAUAUUGCACAACCAAUUCAUCAUUAUAAGCAUUCUUUUGACAGAACUUUGUGAGCCUAUAUUCAAGAGAAUAUCCUAGUUCAUUAUUUCAAAUAGCCAAAUCAUCAUUAAGUUCAGAGAUUCUGUCAACUAAAACAUUGGUAGGAACCCUUUUUCUAAGAUUUUCAUUGAAAGCAACAUAGUCUAGAGAUCGAAAACGCAUUACUUCUUCUUGAUCAAAGAGGAUAGCCUAUAUGGGAGGAUGGCAAGCGUCCACCCUAUAAUGUGCAAAGAUUUUUUGGCCUCUUUUAUUAUGAAUCUAAACUCAUGAGCCAAAAAGAUAGUAGCGGCACGCUUAACAGAAGAAUGCUCAAUAUUAGAAAAUUCCAGAAAAAUCCUUUGUACGGAAGGAUGCAUGUGCAUGAAUUGUCUUUCAAGUUCAACUACAAGCAUGGCAAUAGAGUCCGCAAGACUACUAGUUCUAUGAAGGAUAGAACUACCCAUAGAAGGUAAAUCACCAGCACAAGUAAAGAAAUCUUGAAUAACUCCUUUUCCAAUAAUAUUACCACUACCAACACUGAAUCUUUUUGUAUGUGAGAUAGUAGGUUCUUUAGUAGGAGCAUCAGAAUUAUUAUCGACAAUAGUUUCCCCAAUUUCAUACAUUAAGGCAGAAGGUAAAGGACUAGCCAUAACGACAAGCAAACAAACUAACACACAAGCAAACAAAAAGCAAGCGGGCAAAAAAAGGCAAUUAGAGAGGGAGGAUAGAGAGAGAGGGCGAAUAAAACGGCAAGGGGGAGAGGAAAACGAGAGGCAAAUGGCAAAUAAUGUCAUGCGGGAGAUAAGGGUAUGUGCUGGGUACUUGUUAUGUUGACUUUUGCGCAAACGAGAGGCAAACGGCGCCAGAAAUCCAUCUUGCUACCUCUUGAGCACUGAGUUGGUUUUCCCCGAAGAGGAAGGGAUGAUGCAGCAAAGUAGCGUAAGUAUUUCCCUCAGUUUUUGAGAACCAAGGUAUCAAUCCAGUAGGAGGCUACGCGUGAGUCCCUAGCACCCGCACAAAACAAAUAAAUCCUCGCAACCAACGCAAAUAGGGGUUGUCAAUCCCUAUAAGGCCACUUACAAGAGUGAGAUCUGAUAGAUAUGAUAAGAUAAUAUUUUUGGUAUUUUUAUGAUAAAAGAUGCAGAGUAAAAUAAAGGCAAAGUAAAUAGCAAAGGAAAUAACUAAGUAGUAGGAGAUCAAUAUGAUAAAGAUAGACCCGGGGGCCAUAGGUUUCACUAGUGGCUUCUCUCGAGAGCAUAAGUAUUCUACGGUGGGUGAACAAAUUAUUGUUGAGUAAUUGACAGAAUUGAGCAUAGUUAUGAGAAUAUCUAGGUAUGAUCAUGUAUAUAGGCAUCACGUCUGAGACAAGUAAACCGACUCCUGCCUGCAUCUACUACUAUGACUCCACUCAUCGACCGUUAUCCAGCAUGCAUCUAGAGUAUUAAGUUAGAAACAGAGUAACGCCUUAAGCAAGAUGACAUGAUGUAGAGGGAUAGACUCAUGCAAUAUUAAGAAAACCCCAUCUUGUUAUCCUCGAUGGCAACAAUACAAUGUGUACCUUGCUGCCCCUACUGUCACUGGGAAUGGACACCGCAAGAUUGAACCCAAAGCUAAGCACUUCUCCCAUUGCAAGAAAGAUCAAUCUAGUAGGCCAAACCAAACUGAUAAUUCGAAGAGACUUGCAAAGAUAACCAAUCAUACAUAAAAGAAUUCAGAGAAGAUUCAAAUAUUAUUCAUAGAUAGACUUGAUCAUAAACCCACAAUUCAUCGGUCUCAACAAACACACCGCAAAAGGAAGAUUACAUCGAAUAGUUCUCCACAAGAGAGGGGGAGAACAUUGUAUUGAGAUCCAAAAAGAGAGAAGAAGCCAUCUAGCUACUAACUAUGGACCCAUAGGUCUGAGGUAAACUACUCACACUUCAUCGGAAGGGCUAUGGUGUUGAUGUAGAAGCCCUCCAUGAUCGAUGCCCCCUCCGGCGGAGCUCCGGAACAGGCCCCAAGAUGGGAUCUCAUGGAUACAGAAAGUUACGGCAAUGGAAUUAGGGUUUUGGCUCCGCAUCUGAUCGUUUGGGGGUACGUGGAUAUAUAUAGGAGGAAGGAGUACGUCGGUGGAGAAACAUGGGGCCCAUGAGGGUGGAGGGCGUGCCUGGUGGGGGUGGGCGCGCCGCCUACCUCAUGGCCUCAUGUUUCCUUUCUUGACGUAGGGUCCAAGUCUCUCGGGUCUUGUUCAUUGAGAAAAUCACGUUCCCGAAGGUUUCAUUUCGUUUGGACUCCGUUUGACACUCCUUUUCUUCGAAACCGUAAAACAGGCAAAAACAGCAAUUCUAGGCUGGGCCUCCGGUUAAUAGGUUAGUCCCAAAAAUAAUAUAAAAGUGGAUAAUAAAGCCCAAUAAUGUCCAAAAAAGUAGAUAAUAUAGCAUGGAGCGAUCAAAAAUUAUAGAUACGUUGGAGACGUAUCAGACUCUUCAUUCUUGAUCCAGCUAGGGGAGAGGAUAAGUUGAGGGAGAACUCUGGCAGCACGACAACGUUGUGGUGGAGCUUGUGGUAUUCCUGCAGGGCUUCGCCAAGCUCUACGGAGGAGAAGGAAGAGUUGGAGGAGGGAGGGGCUGCGCCAGGGGGAGGGUCUCGUUCUUCUGGCAGCCCUCCCACCCCCACUAUUUAUAGGAGAAGGAGAGAGGGGGCCGGCCCCUUCAGAUCCCAUCUAGGGGAGGGGCGGCGUCCAGGGAGGGAACCCUAGAUGGGUUUUGGGUGCCCCCACCCCUAGGAGACUUGCCCCACAAGCCAGGAGGGGAGGCUGCCCUAGGGGAGGCGCCCCCACCUCUCCUGGUUACAUGAGAGAGGGUGGGAGUGGCGCACAGCCCCUUAGUGGGCUGGUGUGCCCCUUCCCCUUGGCCCAUAAGGCCCCCCAACACUUGCCGGGGGCCUCCGAAACCCCUUUCGGUCACGCUGGUCGUCACCUAGUACCCCUAGAACAAUUCUGGACUCCAAUACCCUUCGUCCAAUAUAUCGAUCUUCACCUCCGGACCAUUCCGGAACUCCUCGUCACGUCCGGGAUCUCAUCCGAGACUCCGAACAACCUUCGGUAACCACAUACUAUUUCCCAUAAUAGCUCUAGCGUCACCGAACCUUCAGUGUGUAGACCCUACAGGUUCGGGAACAAUGCAGACAUGACCGAGACAUCUCUCCGGACAAUAACCAAUAGCGGGAUCUGGAUACCCAUAUUGGCUCCCACAUGUUCCAUGAUGAUCUCACGAUGAACCACGAUGUCGGGGAUUCAAUCAAUCCCGUGUACAAUUCCCUUUGACUAUCGGUAUGUUACUUGCCCGAGAUUCGAUCGCAGGUAUCCCCAUACCUCGUUCAAUCUCGUUACCGGCAAGUCUCUUUACUCGUUCCAUAACGCAUGAUCUCAUGACCAACUCCUUAGUCACAUUGAGCUCAUUAUGAUGAUGCAUUACUGAGUGGGCCCAGAGAUACCUCUCCGUCAUACGGAGUGACAAAUUCCAGUGUCGAUUCGUGCCAACCCAACAGACACUUUCGGAGAUACCUGUAGUGCACCUUUAUAGCCACCCAGUUAUGCUGUGACGUUUGGUACACCCAAAGCAUUCCUACGGUAUCCGGGAGUUGCACAAUCUCAUGGUCUAAGGAAAUGAUACUUGACAUUAGAAAAGCUUUAGCAAACGAACUUCACAAUCUUGUGCUACGCUUAAGAUUGGGUCUUGUCCAUCACAUCAUUCUCCUAAUGAUGUGAUCCCAUUAUCAAUGACAUCCAAUGUCCAUGGUCAGGAAACCAUAACCAUCUAUUGAUCAACGAGCUAGUCAACUAGAGGCUUACUAGGGACAUGUUGUGGUCUAUGUAUUCACAAAUGUAUUACGAUUUCCAGUUAAUACAAUUAUAGCAUGAACAAUAGACAAUUAUCAUGAACAAGGAAAUACAAUAAUAACCAUUUUAUUAUUGCCUCUAGGGCAUAUUUCCAACAGUCUCCCACUUGCACUAGAGUCAAUAAUCUAGUUCACAUCACUAUGUGAUUGUAAUGAAUCCCACACCCAUGGGGUUUGUUCAUAUCUCGCUUGUGAGAGAGGUUAUUAGUCAAUGGGUUUGAACCUUUCAGGUCUGUGUGUGCUUUACAAAUCUCUAUGUCAUCUUGUAGAUGCAGCUACCACGUGCUACUUGGAGCUAUUCCAAAUAACUGCUCUACUAUACAAAUCCAGUUUACUACUCAGAGUCAUCAGGAUUAGUGUCAAAGUUUGCAUCGACGUAACCCUUUACGACGAACUCUUUUACCACCUCCAUAAUCGAGAAAAUUCCUUAGCCCACUAGUUACUAAGGAUAAGUUCGACCGCUGUCAUGUGAUCCAUUCCUGGAUCACUCUUGUACCCCUUGACUGACUCAUGGCAAGGCACACUUCAGGUGCGGUACACAGCAUAGCAUACUGUAGAGCCUACGUCUAAAUCAUACGGGACGACCUUCGUCCUUUCUCUCUCUCUUCUGUCGUGGUCUGGUCUUGAGUCUUACUCAAUACUCACACCUUGUAACACAGCCAAGAACUCCUUCUUUGCUGAUCUAUUUUGAACUCCUUCAAAAUCUUAUCACGGUAUGUAUUCAUUUGAAAGUACUAUUAAACAUUUUUGAUCUAUCCUUAUAGAUCUUGAUGCUCAAUGUUCAAGUAGCUUAAUCCAGGUUUUCCAUUGAAAAACACUUUUCAAAUAACCCUGUAUGCUUUCCAGAAAUUCUACAUCAUUUCUGAUCAACAAUAUGUUAAAAACAUAUACUCAUCAAAAUUUCUAUAGUGCUCCCACUCACUUCUUUGGAAAUACAAGUUUCUCAUAAACUUUGGAUAAACCUAAAAUCUUUGGUCAUCUCAUCAAAGCGUACAUUCCAACUCCGAGAUGCUUACUCCAGUCCUUAGAAGGAUUGCUGGAGCUUUGCAUACUUGUUAGCAUCUUUCAGGGUUGACAAAACCUUCUGGUUGUAUCACAUACAACCUUUCCUCAAGAAAAUCAUUGAGGAAACAAUGUUUUGACAUCCUAUCUGCAAGAUUUCAUAAAUAAUGCAGUAAUUGCUAACAUAAUUCCAACAGACUCUUAUCAUCGCUACGAGUGAGAAAGUCUCAUCGCAGUCAACUCCUUGAACUUGUCAGAAAACAUCUUAAUGACAAGUCGAGCUUUGUUAAUGGUGACAGUUACCAUCAUUGUCCGUCUUCCUUUUAAAAUCCAUCUGCACCGAACAGUCUUACGACCAUCAAGUAGUUCUUCCAAAGUCUAUACUUUGUUUUUAUACAUGGAUCCUCUCUUGGUUUUUAUAUGGCCUCGAGCCAUUCGUCGGAAUCCGGGCCCACCAUCGCUUCUUCAUAGCUCAUAGGUUCAUUGUUGUCUAGCAACAUGACUUCCAAGACAGGAUUACGUACCACUCUGAAGUAGUACGCAUCCUUGUCAACCUAUGAGGUUUGGUAGUGACUUGAUCCGAUGUUUCAUGAUCACUAUCAUAUGCUUCCACUUCAAUUGGUGUAGGUGCCACAGGAACAACUUCCUGUGCCCUGCUACACACUAUUUGAAGUGACGGUUCAAUAACCUCAUCAAGUCUCCAUCAUCCUCCCACUCAAUUCUUUCGAGAGAAACUUUUCCUCGAGAAAGGACCCGGAUCUGAAAUAGGAGGUAUACCCAACUAUUUUGGGUAUUCUAUGAAGAUGCAUUUAUCCGCUUUGGGUUCGAGCUUAUCAGCCUGAAACUUUUUCACAUAAGCGUCACAACCCCAAACUUUUAAGAAACGACAACUUAGGUUUUUCUAAACCAUAGUUCAUACGGCGUCAUCUCAACGGAAUUGCAUGGUGCCCUAUUUAAAGUGAAUGCGGUUGUCUCUAAUGCCUAACCCAUAAACGAUAGUGGUAAUUCGAUAAAAGAAAUCAUGGUAUGCACCAUAUCCAAUAGGGUGCAGUUAUGAUGUUCGGACACACCAUCACACUAUGGUGUUCCAGGCGGUAUUAGUUGUGAAACAAUUUCCACAAUGUCUUAAUUGUGUGCCAAACUCGUAACUCAGAUAUUCAUCUCUAUGAUCUUAUCAUAGACAUUUUAUCCUCUUGUCACGACGAUCUUCAACUUCACUCUGAAAUUACUUCAACCUUUCAAUAAUUCAGACUUGUGUUUCAUCAAGUAAAUAUACUCAGCAUCUACUCAAAUCAUCUGUGAAGUAAGAAGAUAACGAUAUCCACUGCGUGCCUCAGCACUCAUUGGACUGCACACAUCAAAAUGUAUUACUUCCAACAAGUUGCGUUCUUGUUCCAUCUUACUGAAAACGAGGCCUUUCAGUCAUCUUGCCCAUGUGGUAUGAUUUGCAUGUCUCAAGUGAUUCAAAAUCAAGUGAGUCCAAAUGAUCCAUCUGUAUGGAGUUUCUUCAUGCAUAUCUACCAAUAGACAUGGUUCGCAUGUCUCAAUCUUUUCUAAAACGAGUGAGUCCAAAGAUCCAUCAACAUGGAGCUUCUUCAUGCAUUUUAUACCAACAUGACUCAAAUGGCAGUGCCACAAGUAUGUGGUACUAUCAUUAGUAUCUUACAUCUUUUGGCAUGAACAUGUGUAUCACUACGAUCGAGAUUCAAUAAACCAUUCAUUUUAGGUGCAAGACCAUUGAAGGUAUUAUUCAAAUAAACAGAGUAACCAUUAUUCUCCUUAAAUGAAUAACCUUAUUGUGAUAAACAUAAUCCAAUCAUGUCUAUGCUCAACGCAAACGCCAAAUAACAAUUAUUUAGGUUCAACACCAAUCCCGAUGGUAGAGGGAGCAUGCGUUGUUUUCUCACAUCAACCUUGGAAACACUUCCAACACAUAUCGUCAUCUCACCUUUAGCUAGUCUCCACAGCCUUUCAUUUCGAGUUACUAACACUUAGCAACCGAACCGGUAUUUAUUACCCUGGUGCUACUAGGAGUACUAGUAAAGUAGACAAUAAUAUAAGUAUAUUCAAAAUACUUCUGUCGACCUUGCCAGCCUUCUCAUCUACCAAGUAUCUAGGGUAGUUCUGCUUUAGUGACCGUUCCCCUCAUUACAGAAGCACUUAGUCUCGUGUUUGGGUUCAACCUUGGGUUUCUUCACUAGAGCAGCAACUGAUUUACCAUUUCAUGAAGUAUCCCUUCUUUCCCUUCCCCUUCUUGAAACUAGUGGUUUAACCAUCAACAAUUUAUGCUCCUACUUGAUUUCUACUUUCGCGAUGUCAAACAUCGCGAGUUGCUCAAGGAUCAUCAUGUCUAUCCCUGACAUGUUAUAGUUCAUCACGAAGCUCUAAUAGCUUGGUGGCGGUGACUAUGGAGAACCAUCACUAUCUAAUCUGGAAGAUUAACUCCCACUCGAUUCAAGCGAUUGUAGUACUCAGACAAUCUGAGCACAUGCUCAACGAUUGAGAUUUUCUCCCUUAGUUUGCAGGCUUAAGAAACUUGUCAGAGGUCUCAUACCUCUUGAUGUGGGCACUAGUCUGAAAUCCCAAUUUAAGUCUUUGGAACAUCUCAUAUGUUCUGCGACGUUUCAAAAACAUCUUUGGUGCCACAAUUCUAAAGCAUUACGCACUGAACUAUCACGUAGUCAUCAAAAUGUGUAUGUCAGAUGUUUCCCAACAUCUACAGACGAUGCUCGAGGUUCAGCACACCGAGCGGUGCUUUAAGGACAUAAGCCUUCUGCACAGCAAUGAGGAUACUCCUCAGUUGACGGACCCAGUCCGCAUAAUUUCUACUACCAACUUUCAACUAAAUUUUCUCUAGGAACAUAUCUUAAACAGUAGAACUAAAGUGUAAGCUACGACAUAAUUUGCAAAGAACUUUUGACUAUGUUCAUGAUAAUUAAGUUCAUCUAAUUAUUUAAUGAACUCCCACUUAUAUAGACAUCCCUCUAGUCAUCUAAGUGAUACAUGAUCCGACUCAACUAGGCCAUGUCCGAUCAUCACGUGAGACGGACUAGUCAUCAUCGGUGAACAUCUUCAUGUUUAUCGUAUCUACUAUACGACUCAUGUUCGACCUUUUGGUCUCUUGUGUUCCGAGGCCAUGUCUGUACAUGCUAGGCUCGUCAAGUCAACCUAAGUGUUUUGCAUGUGUAAAUCUGGCUUACACCCGUUGUAUGCGAACGUUAGAAUCUAUCACACCCGAUCAUCACGUGGUGCUUCGAAACAACGAACCUUCGCAACGGUGCACAGUAAGGGGGAACACUUUCUUGAAAUUUUAGCGAGGGAUCAUCUUAUUUAUGCUACCAUCGUUCUAAGCAAAUAAGAUGUAGACAUGACAAACAUCACAUGCAAAUCAUAAAGUGACAUGAUAUGGCCAAUAUCAUCUUGCGCCUUUGAUCUCCAUCUUCGAGGGGCGGCAUGAACACCAUCGUCACCGGCAUGACACCAUGAUCUCCAUCAUCAUGAUCUCCAUCAUCGUGUCUUCAUGAAGUUGCCUCGCCAACUAUUACUUCUACUAAUAUGGCUAACGGUUAGUGAUUAAGCUAUGUACCUAGGGUAGGGGCAUGGACCUGUCAUAAGAGCCCUACCCAAGGACAUCCCUGGAAGAAGUCACCUUUCAAUCGACUUGAAGGUAUCCCACUCGACGGAUUCAAGACACUCGACCAGGAAGCCAUCACUCGACUACGAAGCCAACCACUCGACUGCCAGGAGAUCUAAAGUCACUCCGCAGGCAAACGGUCGGCCAUUAAGUAGUCUUUAUGGUCAUCAUAGAACUUUAUUAGGGACGUUACCAGUAAUGCCCAGUCUUAAUGUAUUUUAACCCUGCAUUACUGAGGGCGGGAGAGGUCUGGCAAAAUCUAUAUAAGCCACCCCCCUCCUCAGUAGCAGGGGUUCGCACCCCUGUUAUUCACACACCCAUAAUCCAAUCGACCGCCUCCGGGCACCGAGACGUAGGGCUGUUACUUCCUCCGUGAAGGGCCUGAACUCGUACAUCCUGGUGUGUUGACAACUUCUCCAUAGCUGAGAUCUAGCCUCUCCAUACAUACCCCCCUACAUAACUGUCAGAGUUAGAACCACGACAGUUGGCGCCCACCGUGGGGCAGGAAUCUUAGCGCCUAGUUGGAGAAGUUGUGAUUUUUCCGAUCCCUUUGAUCAUGGUUUCAUGCGGAGUUUUGGUGGAGGGCCGCGAGAUCUGUCUCGGCGCGCUCACGUUCAUCGCCGAUGACUCUGCUUGGCUUCAGGAGGCUCCACUCGACAUCGACGCGCUCCCCGUCCGCGGUGCGAUGCACUUCUGCGCAUGUGUUCGUGGCGUCCUCCUGCGGCAGCCGUCGACCCAGUAGCAGUCGGCUCCCAUGUCAUCUCCCCGCCCUGUCUCCCACCGGCGCAAGCGCUCCGGUCGGUCGAGACUUCAGAGGUGGGUGAGGCAUGCCGUGGCUCGCCAGUCGGCCGCCCCACAAGUCGCGGCAAUCGAGCCCGACGAAUCCCUCUACGGCCUGUUCGACUGGCUCCGCGGAGACCGCAUCCGAGUGCGACAGCAGCGACCCAGCGGCUGAGGUUCUGGCGGUCAACGGAACACACAGUCCUCCCAGUUUCCCUCGUACCGAUGGAGGCGCGGGUGGGGGCGACCCGUCGCAUCCCCACGAUGAGUAUCUCGCCGAACCUCUCAUGUCGUUGCAGCGAGAGGAGCUUCGCCGCCGGAACAUGGAUGCACUCCACACUCCUAUCGUCGGAGAAACCCCCGAGGCCCGGGCCUUGGAGGACGCGCGCUUGGCUAACUUGGCCGAGCGCACUCGACUGGAGAAUCUCCAGCGAAUACUCGACGAGCAAGCGCGUCAGUGAGCUCCCGAGUCCAGUCGACGUCAACUCUUCCCGCCGACGCAGGUAUAUCGAACCCCAGUUCAGAAUUUGGCAGCCGCGGCCCGUAUAGCAGAAUCGAUUCAGCCCUCCCAGUCAGAGGCUGGCAGGGGCUUGUUGCAAAUUAGAGCGUUGCUCCGGGCAGCGGGAAACCAGAAUUCUGCUGUUUCUCAGUCGCGGAAUAGGAUCCACAGUCGAUCCGUUGCAACGGAUACAGCCCAGUCGGUUCAUAGCCCAAGAUCGCCCCCGAGGCGUGAGGGACGUGGAGACCGGCACGAUCAGUACAGAAGAAACGAGCAGUAUGAUCACCGAUUCGAUCGUGAUGAUCGACGUCGAGUGCCAACCCCUCCCUCGAGGAGUGGGUCAUAUGCGCCUCGACAGCGGGAUGACAGACGCCCUCAUAGUGUGGGGCGGAGGAUUCCAGUCGACCCCAGGGACCCAGGCUUUGAUGCGAGAUCCAUCCUCGUUCAAGGUUUGGUUGACAGGAACAGAGCUCACCGAGAAGGCCACGACAGAGAUGCGCCUGCCAGCAGCAUAGCACAUGUUUCGGGGCCAGAGUGUUUCAGUCGAGCCAUCAGAGCCACAGUGAUUCCUCCCAACUUCAGGUUGGCGACUGGAGUCAGCAAGUUCACCGGUGAGUCUAAACCUGACACUUGGCUCGAAGAUUACCGAGUGGCUGUACAGAUUGGCGGUGGCAAUGAUGAGGUGGCUAUGAAGCAUUUGCCUCUCAUGUUAGAGGGCUCAGCCAGAGCGUGGCUAAAUCAGUUAGCACCCAGCAGCAUCUACACUUGGGAGGACCUCUCCCGAGUGUUUGUCACAACCUUUGAGGGAACAUGCAAGUGACCUGCAGGCCUUACAGAAUUGCGGUCUUGCAUACAGAAACCGAAUGAAACUCUGAGGGAUUACAUCCAGAGGUGGAUCACAUUGCAUCACACAGUUGAGAAUGUACCAGAUCAUCAAGCAGUUUGUGCCUUUAAAGAAGGCGUUAAGUACAGAGAACUGAAUCUGAAGUUCGGUCGAACUGGAGAGAUGUCUCUGAAUCGGAUGAUGGAGAUUGCCACCAAAUACGCUAAUGGUGAAGACGAAGAUCGACUCCGGAGUGGCAAGCACAAGGCAGUCGCCCAAGAAACCGGAGGAAAUUCCAAUCAGAAACAAAAGCGGAAGGCCGAGCCAGCCGCCCCUGGGGAGGCCCUGGCCGUAACCCAGGGAAAAUUCAAGGGAAAACCCAAGGGGCCCUGCAACCCGAAGAAAGUUAAGGAUCAAGAUGGAAAUAAUGUUUUGGAUCUGCCAUGUCACAUCCACACCAAGAAAGAUGAAGAGGGUAAUCUUAUUUACCCAAAGCAUACCACUCGACAGUGCCGGCUCCUGAUCCAGCAGUUUCAGGGCAAGCAGUCCAAAGAUAAGGAAAAAGAGUUGGACAGAGUUGAGGACAAGGAAGAUAGUGACGAUGGAUACCCCCAAGUCAAUUCCACCCUGAUGAUUUUUGCUGAUGUCGAAAGCAAAAGUCGACUGAAAGUCAUUAACCGUGAGGUGAAUAUGGUUGCUUCGGCAACACCCAGUUAUCUGAAGUGGUCUCAGACUGCCAUCGCAUUCGACCAGUCUGAUCAUCCUACACACAUUGCCACCCCUGGGAGGCAAGCUUUGGUGGUUGACCCAGUUGUCGAAGGCACUCGACUGACCAAAGUCCUGAUGGAUGGUGGCAGUGGCCUGAACAUACUGUAUGCAGAAACAUUGAAAGGGAUGGGCAUUCCGAUGUCCAGGCUCAGUACCAGUAACAUGAGCUUCCACGGAGUCAUUCCCGGGAAGAAAGCCGAAUCACUCGGCCAGAUUGCUCUUGAUGUGGUUUUCGGUGAUUCAAAGAAUUACCGCAAGGAAAAGUUCACAUUCGAGGUUGUGGACUUCCAAAGUGCUUAUCAUGCUAUUUUGGGCAGGCCAGCUUAUGCACGCUUCAUGGCUCGACCGUGUUAUGUGUAUCUCAAAUUGAAGAUGCCUGGCCCCAGAGGUGUGAUCACUGUUACGGGUAAUCGGAAGAAAGCAGAAGAGUGUUUUCAGAAAGGAUCAAAGAUCGCUGAUGCUCAGAUGGCGGUGGUCGAGCUGCAAGAGUACCAGAAGACUGCUGAUCCGAGUAAAUUGCUACGAGCCAAGAAGCCUGCUUCAGAAUCAGCUUUUCAGUCGUCCGGUGAAACAAAGCCAGUCCACAUUCACCCGACCGACCCAAUGCUGCCCCGACUCACAUCUCAACGAUGCUCGACUCCAAAUAGGAAGGAACGCUCGUCCAGCUCCUCCGUGAGAACUGGGACAUCUUCGCAUGGAAGCCCUCUGACAUGCCUGGAGUUCCUAGGGAGCUGGCUGAGCACCGUCUACGAGUCGACCCAAAAUUCAAGCCUGUGAAAGAACAUCUUCGACGGUCCGCCGUCUAGAAGAGGAAAGCUAUUCGUGAGGAGGUGGCUCGGCUCUUAGCAGCGGAGUUCAUCCGAGAGAUUUACCACUCUGAGUGGCUCGCCAAUGUUGUCAUGGUCCCUAAGAAGGACAAGUCACUUUGCAUGUGCAUUGAUUUUAAACAUAUCAAUCGGGCCUGCCCGAAACAUCAUUUUCCUCUCCCUCACAUCGACCAAAUAGUCGACUCAACCGCGGGGUGCGAGUGAUUGUCUUUUCUAGACGCCUAUUCCGGGUACCAUCAGAUCCGUCUGUAUGGACCCGACGAGAUCAAAAUGGCUUUCAUCACUCCAUUCGGAUGCUUCUGUUAUGUCACCAUGCCGUUCGGCCUCAAGAAUGCUGGAGCCACGUUCAUGAGGAUGAUUCAGAAGUGUUUACUCACUCAAAUUAGUCGGAAUGUGGAGGCAUACAUGGAUGCUAUUGUGGUUAAGUCACGGAAAGGUUCCGACCUGUGGACUGACCUUGCUGAAACCUUUGCCAACCUCAGGAGGUAUGAUAUCAAACUCAAUCCAUCAAAGUGCACAUUCGGAGUUCCAGGUGGAAAGUUACUCGGUUUUCUCGUUUCCGAACGGGGAAUCGACGCCAAUCCUGAAAAAGUUGGUACCAUACUCCGGAUGAAGCGUCCUGUGCGUGUGCACGAUGUCCAAAAGCUUACAGGUUGCUUGGCCGCUCUAAGUCGAUUCAUUUCUCAUCUCGGUGAAAAGGUGUUGCCUCUUUACCGACUGAUGAAGAAGUCUGACAAGUUGGAGUGGACUCCAGAAGCUGAUGCAGCAUUUGCAGAGCUCAAAGCUCCGCUCUCCACCCAGCCGGUGCUUGCUGCCCCAAUCAGUAAAGAGCCUCUGCUGCUUUACAUUGCAGCCACGGGACAAGUUGUCAGUACAGUACUUACGGUCGAGCGGGAAGAAGAAGGAAAGGCCUUCAGAGUUCAGCGCCCAGUAUAUUAUGUGUCUGAAGUUUUGACCCCUUCAAAACAAAGAUAUCCUCGUUACCAGAAGCUUGUAUAUGGGAUUUAUAUGACCACGAAGAAGGUUGCACAUUACUUCUCUGACCACUCCAUUACAGUCGUCAGCGAUGCCCCACUGUCAGAGAUUCGGCACAAUAGAGAUGCAACUGGUCGAGUGGCAAAGUGGGCGAUUGAACUCCUUCCCCUAGAUAUCAAGUUUGAAGCAAAGAAGGCUAUCAAGUCCCAAGCAAUCGCAGAUUUCGUCGCCGAGUGGAUUGAACAGCAACUUCCGAAUCAAAUUCACUCGGAGCACUGGACCAUGUUCUUCGAUGGAUCUAAGAUGCUGAAUGGUUCCGGUGCUGGGGUAGUAUUAGUCUCCCCCCGAGGAGAUAAGCUCAGAUACGUUCUCCAGAUUCACUUUGAUUCCUCCAAUAAUGAAGCAGAGUAUGAAGCACUUUUGUAUGGGUUGUGCAUGGCCAUUUCACUCGGCGUCCGUCGCCUCAUGGUCUAUGGUGACUCAGAUUUGGUGGUUAAUCAGGUGAUGAAGGAGUGGGACGUCAGAAGUUCAGCAAUGACUGGUUAUUGCAAUGUAGUGAGAAAGCGAGAAAAGAAAUUCGAGGGGUUAGAGCUUCAUCACAUCCCCCGACUGAAAAAUCAAGCGGCUGACGAUUUGGCAAAGAUAGGCUCCAAGAGGGAAGCCAUUCCCAGCAACGUGUUCCUAGAGCACAUCCACUCACCGUCAGUCCAAGAAGAUCAUUUUACAGAAGAAGCCCCGCAGCCGAAAAGCGCCACAGAUCCGACUGAAGUUGAAGUUCCUGCUGUGGUCGGCCUAAUCAUGGAAGUCUUGGCAAUCACUCCCGACUGGACGAUACCAUACAUCGCGUAUAUCCUAAGGAAAGAACUCCCGGAGGACGAGGAAGAGGCUCGACAGAUCGUCCGUCGAUCCAAGGCCUUCACAGUCAUAAAGGGACAGUUGUAUAGAGAAAGCGCGACUGGAAUCGGUCAGAAGUGCAUAACACCAGAAGAAGGCCAGAUAAUCCUUGAUGAGAUCCACUCGGGGACCUGUGGUCACCAUGCGUCUUCUUGGACCAUUGUGGCUAAAGCAUACCGAGCGGGAUUUUACUGGCCAAGAGCAAAUGAAAUGGCAAAGGAGAUAGUCAACAAGUGUGAGGGGUGUCAGUUCUACUCCAACAUGUCGCACAAGCCUGCAUCAGCCCUGAAGACAAUUCCACUCGUCUGGCCAUUCGCUGUUUGGGGACUGGACAUGGUUGGACCGUUGAGAACAGGCAGGAGCGGCUUCACACAUGUGCUUGUGGCAGUCGACAAGUUUACCAAAUGGAUUGAAGCUAAACCUAUCAAGAAUCUUGAUGCCUUCACUGCUAUCAGUUUCAUCAGGGAGUUAACAUUCAGAUAUGGAGUCCCGCAUAGCAUCAUCACUGACAAUGGAUCAAACUUUGAUUCGGACAAGUUCAGAGCCUUUUGCGCCUCGCAAGGCACGCGAGUCGACUACGCAUCGGUCGCCCAUCCCCAGUCGAAUGGACAAGCUGAAAGAGCAAAUGGUCUGAUUCUCAAAGGCUAAAGCCUCGACUGAUGCGUGAUCUCAAGCACGCGGCAGGUGCUUGGGUCGACGAGCUUCUGUCAGUUCUGUGGGGAUUGAGGACCACCCCGAACCGGUCGACUGGAAGAACUCCAUUAUUUCUGGUUUAUGGAGCCGAAGCAGUCCUGCCAAGUGAUCUACUUCACAACGCACCCCGAGUCGAACUUUAUACCGAAGAUGAAGCAGAACAAGCCUGGCAAGACACAGUCGACCUCCUAGAAGAAGAGAGGGAAAUGGCCAUGAUCAGAUCGACCAUUUAUCAGCAAGACUUGCGUCGAUUCCACGCCAGAAAUGUGAAGAGUCGAGCCUUCCAAGAAGGAGAUUUGGUCCUCCGAGUGGAUCAACAGAAACCACACAAGCUUGCUCCUACUUGGGAAGGCCCCUUCAUCGUCACCAGAGUCCUCCACAAUGGAGUGUAUCACCUAUACAAUGUUGAUCGCCAGAUCGACGAGCCGCGAGCUUGGAAUGCGGAACUACUCCGCCCCUUUUACACUUGAGUUCUCUCUCGGAUGAGAUGUAAUAAGAAAAACUUCUGCAGCUUGUUUUUAUCAAAGACAAGAGUGUUCCAAUAAUUGCUGUCACUUUUGUUUGCAUAUGAAAUCCCCCAGUGGGUGACUUAGCUGUGAAUCCGUUUUGCCUAAGUUUGUAAAAAAAAUCCUACCGAGUGGUGAGCCAGACUCCCACUCGGGGGCUUAGCCGCAGUCCAGUACUCGCCUAAGUGUUUAAAAAUCCUACCGAGUGGAGAGCAAACCUCCCACUCGGGGGCUUAGCUGCAGUCCAGUACUCGCCUAAGUGUUUAAAAAUCCUAUCGAGUGGAGAGCAAACCUCCCACUCGGGGGCUUAGCUGCAGUCCAGUACUCGCCUAAGUGUUUAAAAAUCCUACCGAGUGGAGAGCAAACCUCCCACUCGGGGGCUUAGCUGCAGUCCACUACUCGCCUAAGAGUUUAAAAAUCCUACCGAGUGGAGAGAAAACCUCCCACUCGGGGGCUUAGCUGCAGCCCAGUGCUCGCCUAAGUUUGAAAAAAAUCCUACCGAGUGGAGAGCAAACCUCCCACUCGGGGGCUUAGCUGCAGCCCAGUGCUCGCCUAAGAGUUUAAAAAUCCUACCGAGUGGAGAGCAAACCUCCCACUCGGGGGCNNNNNNNNNNNNNNNNNNNNNNNNNNNNNNNNNNNNNNNNNNNNNNNNNNNNNNNNNNNNNNNNNNNNNNNNNNNNNNNNNNNNNNNNNNNNNNNNNNNNNNNNNNNNNNNNNNNNNNNNNNNNNNNNNNNNNNNNNNNNNNNNNNNNNNNNNNNNNNNNNNNNNNNNNNNNNNNNNNNNNNNNNNNNNNNNNNNNNNNNNNNNNNNNNNNNNNNNNNNNNNNNNNNNNNNNNNNNNNNNNNNNNNNNNNNNNNNNNNNNNNNNNNNNNNNNNNNNNNNNNNNNNNNNNNNNNNNNNNNNNNNNNNNNNNNNNNNNNNNNNNNNNNNNNNNNNNNNNNNNNNNNNNNNNNNNNNNNNNNNNNNNNNNNNNNNNNNNNNNNNNNNNNNNNNNNNNNNNNNNNNNNNNNNNNNNNNNNNNNNNNNNNNNNNNNNNNNNNNNNNNNNNNNNNNNNNNNNNNNNNNNNNNNNNNNNNNNNNNNNNNNNNNNNNNNNNNNNNNNNNNNNNNNNNNNNNNNNNNNNNNNNNNNNNNNNNNNNNNNNNNNNNNNNNNNNNNNNNNNNNNNNNNNNNNNNNNNNNNNNNNNNNNNNNNNNNNNNNNNNNNNNNNNNNNNNNNNNNNNNNNNNNNNNNNNNNNNNNNNNNNNNNNNNNNNNNNNNNNNNNNNNNNNNNNNNNNNNNNNNNNNNNNNNNNNNNNNNNNNNNNNNNNNNNNNNNNNNNNNNNACCGAGUGGUGAGCCAGACUCCCACUCGGGGGCUUAGCUGCAGCCCAGUGCUCGCCUAAGUUUGAAAAAAUCCUACCAAGUGGAGAGCAAACCUCCCACUCGGGGGCUUAGCUGGAGCCCAGUGCUCGCCUAAGAGUUUAAAAAUCCUACCGAGUGGAGAGCAAACCUCCCACUUGGGGGCUUAGCAGCAGCCCAGUGCUCGCCUAAGUUUGAAAAAUCCUACCGAGUGGAGAGCAGACCUCCCACUCGGGGGCUUAGCUGUAGCCCAGCGCUCGCCUAAGUACGGAACGCAACCCAAUCCGCAAGGACAACGAGGUGCAAAUCGACUGCUACCUUCUCCUUCGGAGCUGCACCACAAAUGCAAAGUUAUUUCGAGUGAAGAUCGAGUUCCACUCGAUGGAUCAUCCAUGAAGAUAUUCAAUGAUAAAUCAAGUUCAGAUAAGACCUAAAGGUCCCAGGCCUCAGAUCAAAGUACUCGAUCCCUCGGCUCGACAGAGUUUAACGGUUACAAAAUCCACUCGGCAUUCCGAGGCAAAUUUAAAGUGAAGCAUAAAAGUUUUUCAUUCCUCAAGCGGAGGACUGGAAGGGGCGACGAACUCGUCCAAGUCUAUCCCGUCUGCAAUACGAGUAGCAGCAGCGAUGAAAGUCUCCAUGAAGUCUUGAAAGUUGUGCUUCCUGGUAUUGGUGACUUGGAUGGCGGCCAGCUUUUCUUCUCGCGCCUCCUUGCAAUGGACGCGGACCAGAGACAGAGCGACAUCAGCACCACAUCUAGCAGAAGAUUUCUUCCAUUCCGCCACUCGACCCGGGACUUCAUUCAGUCGAGCCAUCAGGGACUUGAGGUCGUUCUGAAGCGUCGUCCCAGGCCAGAGUGAUGUGUCGAUCCGCGACAUCGCAACCUUCAGCCGAGCAAGAUAGUCAACAACGCUGGUAACACGAGACUCCAGUCGGAGCACGUUCAUAGCAGCCUCGUCCUUCACAAGAGAAUUGGCGGGAUCCAAGCCUGGCUCCACUCGACUGGUUUCCUCUUCAAAGCUCUGGCAGAAUUCUGCAAACACGAUUCAAGAAUAAGACAGUGCCCCUACACGGGCUUGGUAACUGCAAGACAGCUGGGUCGGAGUAAUUACCUUCGAGCAUGACGAACAGCUUCUUGGCGGGUCCACCGAGAUAAGCCUCCAGAUCAUUCAUCUUCCCCGCCAGCUCACCCGCCUUGUCAUGUAGAACCAUCUUGUCGUUCUUCAGUCGGCUGACCUCUUGAUUAGCUGUCUCGAGAGCAGUUUUCAGUCUAGAGUUCUCCUGUUCAAGAGUUCCGACCGAAGCCAGUUUCUCUUCUGCAAGCUUCGUUUUGCUCAAGGCCUCCUUCUGCGCUUCGGCAAGAUCUUGAUCCUUCUUCUUCAGAGCUUCCUCCAGUUUAUCUACAGAACGUCGAGUGAGCUCAACGUCAAGAACGGGCAAGAAAGGAAAAGUCACUCAUCAAGAAUGAGAAACCUCACCAGCCAUACCUUUUGCUUCUUCUCGCGCCUUCUGCAGGUUCUGUUGAGCAAGCUUCAAGUCAAGGUUGAGCUGGAUCUGUUUGUUCUCCAACUCAGUGUAGAGAGCCACAAGUUCACAGGAUUUCUGCAAAAAUCAGUCGACAGAGGUCCAAGAUAAGUUGCUUCCGAGUAACCAAGAGACAAUGAUGGCGUUUCUAAGACUACGGCUGAAUCAAAAACAUUCAACAGUAGUCUCGGGGACUACACCUAGUGGGUGCACUCAGCGUGCCCCCACUGGUUUUUUGAAAAAAAAAAUUGACUGCCCGUAGUCGACCGGAUACAGUUUCAUUCGACAUGGCCUGACUAGACCGAGUGAAGAAGUACAACUACAGCAACACAAUAUAAAGACUACAGUCGACUGCCAGUAGUCCACCGUAGUCUCGGGGACUACACCCAGUGGGUGCACUAAGCGUGCCCCCACUCGUCCAGGACUUAACAGACACACCCAGUGGGUGUACAGAUUUAAAGAUCUUCAGAAAAGAGAUUCUUCAGACAGCAUACCCUAACAGAACAAGCAGUGAAUCAACUGACCUGGACGUUACUCUGAAGAGCUGAACUCGCGUCAUAAGCUUCUUGGCUGGCUUCUCGAACCACCUUGACCUGCUCCAUCAUGAUCCCUGCCUGGCAUAUAGCUUCCUUAGCUGCACCCACUUGGUCCUCAGGGAUGUGGUGUGUGGCGAAGAGCGAAGGCGGAUUUGCGGUCGACGUCGAGGGCCGCACACUCGUCAGAGGAAUGGCGAAAGUCACAGAAGCCCGAGUGGUAUCACCACCGUCUCGAGCUACGGCCUCAGGCGCCGGAGUGGAUUGUGGGGUCUCGCCAGCCGACGCUUUCCUGUUCCGCCUCACUCUCGGCGGUGCUUCUUCGUUGUCGUCAGGGAGGUUAAUAACAUGAGGAGGAGAUACGAGAAAAAUUCAAUCGACCAGAGUUAUGAGAAAUCGUCAGUCGAUUCAAGGCAGAACAUCAGUAAUCAUACCAGGGUUGGAAGUAACAGCAUCUUCCAUCUCUUGAUCAUCGUCCUUGGUGGAGAUCUCAGAAGUUGCAGCACUGCAAAUUUUGAAAGACAGUCAGUUGGCUCAGUGAAUCGACCAAGGAUCCGUCCACGGUCGACAAAGGAGAACAAGUUCUAUCAUUACCCAGAAAUGGUGGGGACAGUCAUCCUCAUCUUGGGCAGAGCCUUGGGUGGCUUGGAUGGCGCCGCACGGGGGUGCUUGGGAGCUUUUUCAGUCGGCGCUAGAGAAGAGGUCCGAGGGCGCUUCGACGACUGCCCAAUGGGAGCAGUCGCCUUACCACGUUCCCGCGCAGGGUCGUGUGUAAGCUUGGAUCGCCUUUCCGAGCGGGGAGGUUCAGCUUCCUCCUCCUCCUCUUCGCUGGAGUCGACGUCGUCGUCUCCCUCUCCUUCGCCGUCAAAUUCCCACUCUCCCUGUUCGUCUCCACUUUCGCCUCCGCUCGCCUCCCCUUCCUCGGCCUGCUCCUGUGCUCUGUUGGGUGUCGAGUACAUCUCUGUAGUUGCCUGGAGAACAGCAGACAAGUCGAAAGUCAGUCGACCGAUUCAAAGAGAGCAAAUGAAGAAAGCAAGAUCUCAGUCGGGAACACAAGGUCAAACCUGGUCCACUUCAUAUGAGUUGUCGAGCAGAGGGACCCUCCUGGCUCCUCGGGGGUUGUCUUUGUUCCCUGUGAUGCUCGAUAGCCACCCUUCCAGCAUCUCGUCAGUGACCUCCUCUGGGUGAAUCCGAGUGGUGUCCUCGAGACCCGAGUACAGCCACAUCGGAUGGUCACGAGCCUGGAGAGGUUGGAUGCGCCUCCGAAGGAAGACCUCCAGCAAGUCCAUGCCAGUCACGCCCUCUCGGACAAGCUGAACCACUCGACCAACCAUCACCUUGACUUGGGGUCACCUGGUCUUGGCAAUAAAACCAGGUCGACUGCCAACCACGGAUCGACUCGGGAAAAGUGAUAGACGGAAAAGAACUUUUUUCCCUCAUCUGGAUCGCCAGGCCCCCGCACAGCUGGAUCACUUGCGUUCGUUCGUCACUUGACUUGGCUUUAUUUACCGAUUGGGAACGACAAGUGAAGAUGUGUUUAAAGAGUCCCCAAUGAGGGCGGCAACCCAAGAAACUUUCGCACAAGGAAACGAAAGCAGCAAGAUACACGAUGGAAUUGGGAGUGAAGUGGUGGAGCUGCGCUCCGAAGAAGUUCAAAAAGCUCCGGAAAAAAGGAUGAGGAGGUAGAGAAAAUCCGCGAUCGAUAUGGGUGGCGAGGAGGACGCACUCACCGUCACGAGGUUCGGGUUCGAUUUCUCUCCCCGGCAGACGCGCAACUUCAUGGGGAAUGACUCCCCCCUCAACCAUGUCGUCAAGAUCUUCCUGCCGAAUCACCGACGGCAUCCAGUCACCCUGGAUCCAAUCCCUGGGCAGAGCAGUCCUCGAGGAAGAUCUGCCCCGAGCGGACUUCUUCCCCUUCCCCUGCACCGCCGCCUUCUUUGCGCGCUCCAAAGCCAACGUCUUGUCCUUCACCAUCGUCGCCGGCGAGGCUCGAACGGACCUACGGCGCUAGGGUGAGAGCGGAGGUGGCGGAGGACCUUGCGGGGGGAGAAGGGAAGACGAGAGCACACUGUUUGGGAGCCCCGAGCCGGCAACUUAUAAGGAGCCGCUUUCGAGUGGCUGACCAGUAGGCCCAGGCGAUCCCGUCAAAUCCUACAACAGGCGCGCGCGCGCGGUACGUGGCGAAAAAGGUGGCACGGGAAUCGAGGAGCUUCCAUCCUAUCCCAUCCGAUUACUGCGGUCGCCCCCGUCCCGCUCGCUUCCCGAAAUUCAAAUCCCGCAAAAUCCGCGAGCUGCAGAACAACCCAUCAAACUGAAGAUCCCGCUCGUGCCGGCACUCGGUAUUUCACAAGUAAGGAAAUUCACUCGACGAGAGACCAAGAAUGGAUCAAGGUGACCGAAAGAAGUUGACAACGUCAUCCGUGACGAUUGAUCCAGUACAAGACAUUCAUAUAACGCUAAGAACCAGUCGGAAGGACCCCCAACUCCUUCCCCACUCGAACCUCGAUCCAUUCGGGAGAACACUUUCUUGAAAUUUUAGCGAGGGAUCAUCUUAUUUAUGCUACCAUCGUUCUAAGCAAAUAAGAUGUAGACAUGACAAACAUCACAUGCAAAUCAUAAAGUGACAUGAUAUGGCCAAUAUCAUCUUGCGCCUUUGAUCUCCAUCUUCGAGGGGCGGCAUGAACACCAUCGUCACCGGCAUGACACCAUGAUCUCCAUCAUCAUGAUCUCCAUCAUCGUGUCUUCAUGAAGUUGCCUCGCCAACUAUUACUUCUACUAAUAUGGCUAACGGUUAGUGAUGAAGCUAUGUACCUAGGGUAGGGGCAUGGACCUGUCAUAAGAGCCCUACCCAAGGACAUCCCUGGAAGAAGUCACCUUUCAAUCGACUUGAAGGUAUCCCACUCGACGGAUUCAAGACACUCGACCAGGAAGCCAUCACUCGACUACGAAGCCAACCACUCGACUGCCAGGAGAUCUAAAGUCACUCCGCAGGCAAACGGUCGGCCAUUAAGUAGUCUUUAUGGUCAUCAUAGAACUUUAUUAGGGACGUUACCAGUAAUGCCCAGUCUUAAUGUAUUUUAACCCUGCAUUACUGAGGGCGGGAGAGGUCUGGCAAAAUCUAUAUAAGCCACCCCCCUCCUCAGUAGCAGGGGUUCGCACCCCUGUUAUUCACACACCCAUAAUCCAAUCGACCGCCUCCGGGCACCGAGACGUAGGGUUGUUACUUCCUCCGCGAAGGGCCUGAACUCGUACAUCCUGGUGUGUUUACAACUUCUCCAUAGCUAAGAUCUAGCCUCUCCAUACAUACCCCCCUACAUCACUGUCAGAGUUAGAACCACGACAGUUAGCAAUAAAGUAAAGUAAUUACAUGGCAUUUUCAUUGACACGCAGGUCAUAAAUAAAUUAAGAGAACUCCUAUGGCUCCUGCCGGUUGUAUACUCAUCGACAUGCAAGUCAUGAUUCCUAUUACAAGAACAUGAUCAAUCUCAUACAUCACAUAUAUCAUUCACCACAUCCUUUUGGCCAUAUCACAUCACAUAGCAUACCCUGCAAAAACAAGUUAGACGUCCUCUAAUUGUUGUUGCAUGUUUUACGUGGGUGCUAUGGGUUUCUAGCAAGAACGUUUCUUACCUACGCAAAACCACAAUGGUGAUAUGCCAAUUACUAUUUACCCUUCAUAAGGACCCUUUUCAUCGAAUCCGAUCCUUCUAAAGUGGGAGAGAAAGACACCCUCCAGCCACCUUAUGCAUCAAGUGCAUGUCAGUCGGUGGAACCAGUCUCACGUAAGCGUACGUGUAAGGUCGAUCCGGGCCGCUUCAUUCCACAAUUCCGCCGGAUCAAGAUAAGACUAGUAACGGUAAGCAAAUUGAACAAAUCAUCACCCACAACUACUUUGUGUUCUACUCGUGCAUAGAAUCAACGCAUAGACCUAGCUCAUGAUGCCACUGUUGGGGAACGUAGCAAUAAUUCAAAAUUUUCCUACGUGUCACCAAGAUCAAUCUAGGAGAUACUAGCAAUGAGAGAGGGAGUGCAUCUUCAUACCCUUGAAGAUCGCUAAGCGGAAGCAUUACAAGAACGCAGUUGGUGGAGUCGUACACGCAGCGAUUCAGAUCGCGGUCGAUUCCUAUCUAAGCGCCGAACAACGGGCGCCUCCGCGUUCAACACACGUACAGCCCGGGGACAUCUCCUCCUUCUUGAUCCAGCAACGGGAGAGGAGAAGUUGAGGGAGAACCCCACAGCACGACAGCAUGGUGGUGGAGCUUGUGGUAUUCAUGCAGGGCUUCGCCAAGCUCUACGGAGGAGAAGGAAGAGUUGGAGGAGGGAGGGGCUGCGCCAGGGGGAGGGUCUCGUUCUUCUCGCAGCCCUCCCACCCCCACUAUUUAUAGGAGAGGGGAGAGGGGGCCAGCCCCUUCAGAUCCCAUCUAGGGGAGGGGCGGCGGCCAGGGAGGGAACCCUAGAUGGGUUUUCGGCGCCCCCACCCCUAGGAGACUUGCCCCCCAAGCCAGGAGGGGAAGCUGCCCUAGGAGAGGCGCCCCCACCUCUCCUGGUUACGUGAGAUGGGGUGGAAGGGGUGCAUAGCCCCUUAGUGGGCUGGUUUGCCCCUUCCCCUUGGCCCAUAAGGCCCUCCAACACUUUUCGGGGCCUCCGAAACCCCUUUCGGACACGCUGGCCGUCACCCGGUACCCCCGGAACAAUUUUGGACUCCAAUACCCUUCGUCCAAUAUAUCGAUCUUCACCUCUGGACCAUUCCGGAACUCCUCGUCACGUCCGGAAUGUCAUCCGGGACUCCGAACAACCUUCGGUAACCACAUACUAUUUUCCAUAACAACUCUAGUGUCACCCAACCUUAAGUGUGUAGACCCUACGGUUUCGGGAACCAUGCAGACAUGACCGAGACAUCUCUCCGCACAAUAACCAAUAGCGGGAUCUGGAUACCCAUAUUGGCUCCCACAUGUUCCAUGAUGAUCCCAUCGGAUGAACCACGAUGUCGGGGAUUCAAUCAAUCUCGUAUACAAUUCCCUUUGUCUAUCGGUAUGUUACUUGCCCGAGAUUCGAUCGUCGGUAUCCCCAUACCUCGUUCAAUCUCGUUACUGGCAAGUCUCUUUACUCGUUCCGUAACGCAUGAUCCCAUGACCAACUCCUUAGUCACAUUGAGCUCAUUAUGAUGAUGCAUUACCGAGUGGGCCCAGAGAUACCUCUCCGUCAUACGGAGUGACAAAUCCCAGUGUCGAUUCGUGCCAACCCAACAGACACUUUCGGAGAUACCUGUAGUGCACCUUUAUAGCCACCCAGUUAUGUUGUGACAUUUUGUACACCCAAAGCAUUCCUACGGUAUCCGGGAGUUGCACAAUCUCAUGGUCUAAGGAAAUGAUACUUGACAUUAGAAAAGCUUUAGCAAACGAACUUCACGAUCUUGUGCUAUGCUUAAGAUUGGGUCUUGUCCAUCACAUCAUUCUCCUAAUGAUGUGAUCCCAUUAUCAAUGACAUCCAAUGUCCAUGGUGAGGAAGCCAUAACCAUCUAUUGAUCAAUGAGUUAGUCAACUAGAGGCUUACUAGGGACAUGUUGUGGUCUAUGUAUUCACAAAUGUAUUACGGUUUCUAGUUAAUACAACUAUAGCAUGAACAAUAGACAAUUAUCAUGAACAAGGAAAUACAAUAAUAACCAUUUUAUUAUUGCCUCUAGGGCAUAUUUCCAACAGGGGAGAGGGAAUUUCAGACACUUCUCCCCGAUUACCCUCCUUCGCGGAGGCGGUAAUUCCCCCAGUUUGGAUGAAUAAUGAGUGAGGCCCGCUUUCAGCCUCUUUAUUCCCCCCUUAUCUUCCCCUGAGGGCACCUGAUAAGGCAACGCCUUGAGUAUUCUGGCCAGUACUGGAUCUGCUGAGCCUUCGGGAAGGGGGGCUGAACACCUGAUCAUCUUCGCCUUUGUUACCCAGUCCUGGUCAAAGAGCGACCUUUUAGAAUGAUGUUGUGAUAAAUAAAAAAGCAACGCGUUCGGCCACAGGAUUACUUACUUGGGUAUCUGGACGAUUGCAGCUCAGACCCGCAUCCUCGAUGGUGUCCGGACACCUUAUUUGUGGUCCGAAGAACAAUUUGUACAUCUUUUCGAGCGUCAUGCCGAGGAAGUGUUGAAUAGUUCGCGGUCCUUCCGGGUUGAACUCCCACAUACGGAGGGGUCGACGUUUGCAAGGCGGGACUCGACGAACUAGCAUGACUUACAUUACCGUGGCCAGGCUGACAUCUCUCUCGAGGAGAUCUCGGAUGCGACUCUGCAAUAUCGGCACAGCAUUUACUGGCCCCCAGUCCAACCCCUUGUUGAUCCAUGACGUCAAUUGUGGUGGGGUGCCCGAGCGAAAGGCAGGGGUGGCUACCCACUUGGUACCCCGGGGAGCUGUGAUAUAAAACCACUCUCGUUGCCAUAAACUGGACACCUCUGGGAAGGAACCCUCUGGCCAUGGAACAUCAGCGCUUUUGCUUAUUACGGCACCUCCGCACUCUGCGUGUCGCCCCUCAAUCAUCUUCGGCUUCACAUUGAAAGUCUUGAGCCACAGGCCGAAGUGUGGGGUAAUGCGGAGGAAGGCCUCACACACGACGAUGAACGAUGAGAUGUGAAGGAGGGAAUCCGGGGCCAGGUCAUGGAAAUCCAGCCCAUAAUAGAACAUGAUCCCCCUAAAAAAGGGAUCCAGAGCGAGGCCUAGCACUCAGAGGAAGUGAGAGAUGAAUAAAACGCUCUCGCCGGGUUCGGGAGUGGGAAUGACCUGCCCUCGAGCAGGCAGCCUAUGCGAGAUUUCGUCGGUCAAAUACCUGGUCUCUCUUAGCUUCUUGAUGUCUUCCUCUGUGACAGAGGAAGGCAUCCACCAACCUUGAAUGUUGGAUCCGGACAUGGUUGAAGGUCCGAAACGCCUGACCUGAGCCUUGGGUGUUGGAACUCGAGGCGGGGGAAGGAUUCGAUUGAGUAUGAGAGGGAAAAAAGGACAGGCCUUGGCCUCUUUAUAAAAAGGGUGAAUAUCAAGCGUCCUCCUCGUGGCCGUUUGGGACUUGCCUAAAAUCGAGGAGUCAUACCAACGGGCACGAUUGGGUUACCCACGUCCGUAUUGAUGAGAAUCACGUAAUAAGGGGGACAUAAUCUCUGCUUUGACAAGACGUGCCAAGAAAACCACCUCGCGAUAUGUGCAGUGUUGGUUGAGAAAAACGGUUCGAACAAUGACCGGGUCAUGGCAUGAUGUCAUGUUGCUUAGCGUGUCAGCAGAUUAGAUUUUUGGAAAUAUUAUUCUCUCUACGGUGGUAUGUGGAACUUGUUUUGCAGAGCCGAACACUAUCCUUGUGUUCAAAAUCUUCUAUGGAGUAUUCGGAGGAAGAACCCGCCUUGCAAUGCCGAAGACAAACUGCGCGAUGGACUCGUCGUCAUUGAAGCCUGGUUCAGGGGCUACUGAGGGAGUCCUGGAUUAGGGGGUCUCCGGACAGUCGGACUAUAUCCUUUGGCCGGACUGUUGGACUAUGAAGAUACAAGAUUGAAGACUUUGUCCCGUGUCCGGAUGGGACUCUCCUUGGCGUGGAAGGCAAGCUUGACAAUACGGAUAUGUAGAUCUCCUUCCUUGUAACCGAAUCUAUGUAACUCUAGCCCCCUCCGGUGUCUAUAUAAACCGGAGGGUUUGGUCCGUAGGACAAUCAUACCAUAGGCUAGCUUCUAGGGUUUAGCCUCUACGAUCUCAUGGUAGAUCAACUCUUGUAAUACUCAUAUCAUCAAGAUCAAUCAAGCAGGAAGUAGGGUAUUACCUCCAUCGAGAGGGCCCGAACCUGGGUAAACAUCGUGUCCCCCGCCUCCUGUUACCAUGCGCCUUAGACGCACAGUUCGGGACCCCCUACCCGAGAUCCGCUGGUUUUGACACCGACAAUGUCCUCAUAGUAUCAGACAGGCGGUCAACCAAAAGUGAAGUGUGGAUGUUGGAUUCAGCUUGCUCUUUUCAUGCGACACCCAACAGGGAGUGGUUCUCUUCGUACAAGUCUGGUGAGUUUGGUUUAGCCUAUGUGGGCGAUGACACGGGUUAUCGUGCUGCUGGAGUAGGUGACAUCAAAAUCAAGAUGUUUGACGGAGUUGAGCGGAUGCUUCGGGAAGUCAGGCAUGUGCCAGGGCUAAGGAGGAAUCUAAUUUCGCUUGGUGUUCUUCAUGAUGGUGGUAUGGUAUUCCGUUGUGAUCGGGAUAAGAAGACCAUGAGAAUCAUGGAAGAUGAGGUGACCGUGAUGAUUGGAGGGAGGACGGCUUCGCAUCUUUACAAGUUGCAAGGGAGCACUAUUGCAGGUGGAGUCACAUAGACUGGAGUUGCAGGAGUAGCAGCGGGGUCUCACGGCGGCGGCGGGUCUGGGGCAGGCUCGUCGAGUAGCUCUCGGUAAGCUACAAAGAAGACAACACUAGUCCGGAGUACAUGGAAGUUUGACGCAUGGACAAAUUCAAGGUGGUAGAGAAUAUUCACCAAGGUGAAGUCUGUUGUGUUUGUGUCGAAUAUUUUGUACUAGUUGGGUUACGCUUGGACUUGGUGUUGUAGUGUGGGUAGGAUACUUGUAGUGUCGGAAUCGGACACGUUGUACCCUUGGCCUCUUAUAUAUGAGGAGGCACCCCACGUUGUAAGCCAUGACAGCUACAUAGCGACAGGUUCGCAAGGGGGUGCUGGCGGCUUGUGCCGGCGCCCGGGUGGCCGGUAUUGCGGUAUCUCAGGGAGGAGUGCCCGUAGUCAUUACCCCGAGGAGUAGGCGAGUUCGCCGAACCUCAUUAACAAAUCUCGGUGUCGUCAUUAUCUGUGAUUGUUUGGUUCUCUUGGUGGAUCGACCCCGUACCUCGGAUUUAUUCUAACGCGGGGCAUGCCCGGCGUCUACCCAGGGUAUAAGAGCACCUGCGGGGCUCGUUGUAAUGGCCGGGGAUUCGAGUUCGUGCUCGGGAAAAAGACCAUUCAUGCGGUGGCGUCCGUGCGCCGGAAACUCUCGUUGUGUCCUCUGUGCCCUCCUUCUUCCUCCUUCUCGUGUCGUUCGAGCGCAGCAAAGUGAGAGAGAGAGCCAGAGAGGAUCUAGGGCUAGCUAGGGCAAGGCCACGGCAACAACAACCGCGCAAGACGUACAACGGCGAGGGAGUACCACAUCGACCACACGCUGGCGUGCACGCUGGAGUACAGUGCGUUGUGGCUCUCUGUUGCAGAGGAGCCUGCGUUUGUCAUGGAGGCGCUGCACAAGCCAGCGUGGCGCAGCGCCAUGGAGGCCGAGAUGGAGUCAAUUCACUGCCACAACACAAGGGAUCCCGCCUCACUCCGUGCAGCCACCGCGCCAUUGGAUUGAAGUGGGUGUUUAAGAUCAAGUGUGGUCCGACUGGAAACAUUGUGAAGCACAAAGCUUGGAUAGUCACGAAGGGCUACGUGCAGCGGCAGGGGUGGAUUCAGAAUGAUUAGCAAGUUGCUAGAUACAAAUAGUUUAUAUCCAGUUUCAUUUGGGGGCAUUGUGUUCCAGAGUGUACCAUCACGUUCGGGUCAUUAGCGGGUUUAACAAAACAUUUCAUAAUUUUGUGCACUUUCAUAGUGUUUAAUUGAUCGUGUUUCACCUUGUUUUAUAAUUUGAUUUUGAAAACUUGUUAAAAUAUAUUCAAAACUGGUCUCAUUUUAAUGUCCUCAUCAUCAUACACACAGAUAUGCAAACGGAUCAUAAAUUAUUAAAUUAGACAUUUGAUUCAAAAAAUAAAAUAGAUCUGUGAAUGAUGAAAAAGCAUGGGAUGGUGGACCAUGGCUGGAACACUGUGCUUACUUCUCCACUACUAUUAAACAAUCAAACAUGAACUUUCUUACGUGCACCCCGCAAAACGUCCACAGACGCAUCAGCACCACAGGAUGAAGCCCACACAACCCAAUCUAACAGCCAUCAUUAAUUUAUUCAAGAUCUGGUGUGCGCUUAGCAGUUUCAAUAGACUGACCGUACUCCACCAGAUGAAAAUAUGAGACUCUCCGUCCCGCAUCCGCAGCCCCUCAAAUCACGCUAAUCUAACCAUCUAACCAACUCGCAAAAAAAGGAAGCCGAACCUAAUCGUGUCCCUGGCCCCUCUCCCUGCCUUUCCUCGCCACCGCCCCAGACGAAGCUCAGUAGCCCUGUCGCGCCCUGUCGCCUCCAUGCACGGCGGCCUCGAUCCCUGCAUCGCAUCGUCGCCUCGCUGGACGGUUCCCUCGACGUCCUGCAGCGCAUUGAGGCCUCCCUGCCGGGCUCCCUCGCCGGCCUACAUCGCAACGUCGAGUGGGCGGCCGCUCCUCCUUCACCUACAAUCAAAUAUUCAUGGAUCAGCCAGGCUACAACAAGAUUAUUAUGCAUCAUCUGCAUGAGUUUUGGAGCAGUAGCCAGCCCCAUCAGAUCGGCCAGGUAUGAUUUCAACAGCCAAUGAAGACCCGCCUAACAAGAUACAACCUCACCUUCGUUUCUAAUAUGCGUUCGACAGAUCGCCAGUGCCUAGGAGCCUGCUCCGGCACCCGCGCCACCCUGAAAUUCCCCUGAACCAGCCAGCCACACGCAACUAUAAUUCUUCCCUGCACUUCUUCAGGUUCGACUUCUUUGACCUGUUGCAACAUUAGUCAGGAUUAGAAUUUUGACAACAGAGUUCUAAAAAAUAAAUAGUUGCACAGCAGAAUGCUAUAAGCCCGUUUUACAUCUCAUUAAUGGUUUUCUAUGUUGAAAAAUGGUGAAUGCAGGGCCUAACGUCCAAAUUUCAGGGGUUAAGGUACCCCAACUCAGCAGAAUACGAGACCCAUAUUGCACAAUUGAAGAUGGUUAGUUUGUCGAUUUAAUUAUGUUGCAACUGUGUCGACAAUGUUUAUUUGACCGUACAUUCGGGUUCUCUUUCCUUUGUUGAGGUAUGGAGCCUUUUACUGGCUCAAAUCAACUAGAAAAAUAUGUCGGAUAAUGAUAAGAGAGGCUCUGUCGAACCUGGUACUCAAAACACAAAAAAUCUGCAAAUUACUUUUGUCGAUCCUACGUCUACUACAAUACCUACAUUGUUAUGCUCUACUAAUCUUAUGAUUUUCUAUCCUGGGUAAUGACCAGACAAAUGAUCCAUACAUGAUGACGCAUCAAGAUGUAGCUUUUGAAUCGUACCAACUUGGAUGCAAUACUCCCAUAGCAAAUACUGAUGAAUACAUGAAUUUUGUUCUUAAAGAAUGCAUGCAUCUCUAAGAUAAGGAAUUUAGCUCUAUACACGAUGACGCACCAAGAUGGGUAUUAAAGAGGGCUACAACUUAUUUGGAACAUGAUAUGGUGAGCCUCAGUUCCGUACAUAUUACUAUUAAUUUAAUCGAGGAUGGAUGUUUGUAUAGAUGGGACCUAAACUAAAAAAAUGCCUAUUUUCAGUGUAUCCAGGUGCUCGACUCGCUAGGCCCAGGAAUGCACCGCAAAGACCUCACCGCUAUGGUUAGUUAUUAGUCCGACUGCACCAUCGUUUGAUAAGACGAUUUCUGUUAUUCUUCGCUUGUGAUGCUAAUACUUUGUCAUUUAUUCACGCAACAGCUGGAAGGCAAGGGCAAGAACACCUUACUGCUUGUGAAGGAAUGCUUAGUCCGUGGCUGCUGUAUGCACAGAUGCAUGCCCUCUUGCCGGCAAAACAGCAGCAACAGUCACCUCUGGUAAUUGCUCUUACUUAAUAUAUUUACAGUUGUGCCUCUGAAAUCUAUUUAUGGGUCAAAUUCAGGAUCAGGCGAGGCAUGUAGACCUCGGAACUAUGUACGAUGUUCUAUACCAAUGGUGUGUUGAAAUCUUAUUUAUGAAUGAACUGGAUUGCUAAUUUGCUAUGCGGUACUAAUAAUAAUACACUGAACUUAUAGUGCUUGCAUGUUAUAAUUCCCCUCUAAGGAAAUUUGUUUGCAAGGUAUAAUUUAUAGUGUAAGUUUAAAUGUAUCUUUGGAUAUCACCCAAAUCCAGCAGGCUAGCACUAGCAUAGGCAAGAUUAACUCUACUCAACCCCGACGUGAGCCACACAAUAGAGUAACCCAACUCGACUAAAUCGCAAGACAUAAGGAACCUUUAUCCAACUGAGCUGUUAGCAUUACCUGGUCGCCAUGGCCUGAAGGAUGUUGGAGGGAAUAUGAUUGCCAUGGAGGAUGUCACCCGCAAACUCUUACACAUCAGCAUGGCCUUAACAUAGUAUAGGACCCGGCUCUUAUGUCUUCUGACCGCUUCAAAUUCUUCAUGGCAGGACAUGCCAUCAGUUCCUAGAAGAAAGUGGUGUUCGAGUAGGAAGAGGGAGGAGAUGCAAACAUCACUGCUAAUCCGACCAGUUCAGGAAACACAUAAAGAUGAUAUGUAUCCUUUGAGCAAUAGGAUCAGCUUCAUGUCCAUACGGUCACUACACAUGCCAUGCAGGCGGCAAGAUACGGGCAUGUCCAUCAUCGACUUCGAUGACGGCGAGAUCGACGUGGUGCAGCACAACUCUGUCUGAGUCAGCAGCAGCGAAUUGUUUCUACGGAGGUCUAAUCCUUUUCGGUACCAGUCAAAAUCCAACUUUUUAUUGCUAUUUCGCAAUGCACUCUUGUGUGCAUAAUUAUUUAAAACUGAAAACAUCUGGAGUACACCUGAUCCAUUCUAAUUCUAAAGACUAAAGAAGUUGCACUUCCUGCUUCCAGAGUGUAAAAUGGUGCACUUGAAUGAUUGGUUGUUGGGACUAAGCAGUUUGAGCAUAUCCUUCUUUUCAUGUACAUAUCCUAAUAGGUGAGAGCAUCAACGAGAUAUGGUUGAUCUAUCAUGAACCGGUUUAGUAUAUACUCCCUCCGUGCCAGAAUAAGUGUCUCAAGCUUAGUACAACAUUAUACUAAAGUUAGUACAAAGUUGAGACACUUAUUUUGGGACAGAGGGAGUAUAUUUUUGCAGUACAAUGCUUGUGGUAAGACAUCUAAGAAAUAUUUGGAGUUGCCGACUAAGGUAAUCUGGAAGUUCGAAUUAGUAAACAAAUAUGCCCAACCAUCACUUCAAGGAAAUGCUCCAUAGACAACUACAUAGAUUUCUUAGAACAAUAAAAAUACUGUGCAAUGCAUCUCAGAAUCAAAACAUACUCUUCGAUUCAGACUUGUUGCUCCCAUCCCCUUUCGGCACCUCCUCCUUCAGAAAAUCUGAACCAUUCAGGGCUGCAUCAUCAACAAAGGCACCAACUAAGAGGAUGAAAGGAAAAUCAUAGGCUUGGAAGAAAGCUUACUCUUUUUUAACUGGUCGGAGAACAACCGUCUGUGAGUUGGCGAGCAGGGACCUCCAGUCUCAGAGACACAACAAGGGAACGGCGGCGGCCGCGAAGGCAGCGCCACACGGAACACACCAUGGCCCCUGAGCAGCUAACCCUAGGCGAUGAACAUUGCACACGGUGAGGCUACGCACCGAUUUGACGGGGACGAGCAGGCGGCAGGGUCGGAGAGACUAACCUGGACCCUUACGAGCGAGGAGAAGCAUAGGGAGGGCCCCAAGCAGCAGCACAUCAUGCGGAGGUCUUCGUGGUCAUCCAUGGAAAGAAGGAACCGGAGGUCGGGAGUAGCAGCUGCUCCUGCUCCAGGCUGAAUCGAACAAGCAAAUAAAGAUGGUGUCGGAGAGCAGAGCAUCCGGAUCGAGGGGAGAAGAAGAGUUGGAACCGGACCUUGAUGGCGUCUCGAGUAGGGGGGAGGGAGGAUUCAUGGCGCGCGGGAGAAGGUAGAGACGCUCAUGGCGGCGACGGAGAGUGCAUCAGGAGGAGGGAGGGCUCCGGUGUCGCCGGCGAGCAUGCCGAGCUCGAGCGCCUCCUCGAGCACUUCGGGAAUAGGAUGUGAAGAAGGGGCGGGGCGGGGAAGAGCAUGGGCCUGCGUGUCCGCCGACAAUGGUGACGAAGGGGAGGGGCGGCCACCAGAGAGUGCCGGCUGUGGAUGGGGGAUCUAGCGUGAGUCAACAGAGGAGGAGGUAGGAAGAGAAGAAUGGGGAAGAUAAGAAAUGUGAGGGGGC